AUCGACCAAGUCAUGAAGAACUCCCACUGCCGCGACCCGAAGAUGGAGGCCUACUGCGAUGAGGUUCGGCGCCUGGAAGACAAGUUCUACGGGCUCGAGCUUAACCACAUCGCUCGGCGCUACAACGAGACUGCGGACAAGCUGGCAAAAAUAGCCUCGGGGCGAACGACGGUUCCCCCGAACGUCUUCUCUCGGGAUCUGCAUCAACCCUCCGUCAAGAUCGACGACACGCCCGAGCCCGAGGCACCCUCGGUCCAGCCCAAGGCGCCCUCGGUCCAGCCCGAGGUACCCUCGGCUCAGCCCGAGGCACCCUCAGCUCGGCCCAAGGCGCCCUCGGUUCAGCCCGAGGUACCCUCGGCCCCCGAGGGCGAGGCACUGCACGUCGAGGAGGAGCAGAACGGGGCCACGCCUGAUCGAAAUUGGCAGACCCCGUACCUGCAAUAUCUCCGCCAAGGAGAGUUACCCCUCGACCAAGCCGAGGCUCGGCGGGUAGCGCGACGCGCCAAGUCGUUCGUCUUGCUGGGCGAUGAGAAGGAGCUCUACCACCGCAGCCCCUCGGGCGUCCUCCAGCGAUGCAUCUCCAUCGCCGAAGGUCAGGAACUUCUGCAAGAGAUACACUCGGGGGCUUGCGGCCAUCACGUAGCGCCUCGAGCCCUAGUCGGGAAUGCUUUCCGGCAAGGCUUCUACUGGCCAACGGCGGUGGCUGACGCCACUAGAAUUGUCCGCACCUGCGAAGGGUGCCAAUUCUAUGCGAAGCAGACCCACCUGCCCGCUCAGGCUCUGCAGACGAUACCCAUCACCUGGCCCUUUGCUGUGUGGGGUCUGGACCUCGUCGGUCCCUUGCAGAAGGCGCCCGGGGGCUACACGCACCUGCUGGUCGCCAUCGACAAAUUCUCCAAGUGGAUCGAGGUCCGACCUCUGAACAGCAUCAGGUCCGAGCAGGCGGUGGCGUUCUUCACCAACAUCAUCCAUCGCUUCGGGGUCCCAAACUCCAUCAUCACCGACAACGGCACCCAGUUCACCGGCAGAAAAUUCUUGGACUUCUGCGAGGAUCACCACAUCUGGGUGGACUGGGCCGCCGUGGCUCAUCCCAUGUCGAAUGGGCAAGUAGAGCGUGCCAACGGCAUGAUUCUACAAGGGCUCAAGCCUCGGAUUUACAAUGACCUCAACAAGUUCGGCAAGCGAUGGAUGAAGGAACUCCCCUCGGUGGUCUGGAGCCUGAGGACAACGCCGAGCCGAGCCACGGGUUUCACGCCGUUCUUCCUGGUCUAUGGGGCCGAGGCCGUCUUGCCCACUGACCUGGAAUACGGCUCCCCGAGGACGAGGGCCUACAGCGAUCAAAGCAACCAAGUUAGCCGAGAAGACUCGCUGGACCAGCUGGAAGAGGCUCAGGACAAGGCCUUACUACACUCGGCGCGGUACCAGCAGUCCCUGCGACGCUACCACGCCCGAGGGGUCCGGCCCCGAGACCUCCAGGUGGGCGACCUGGUGCUUCGGCUGCGGCAAGACGCCCGAGGGAGGCACAAGCUCACGCCCCCCUGGGAGGGGCCAUUCAUCAUCGCCAAAGUUCUGAAGCCCGGAACGUACAAGCUGGCCAACAGUCAAGGCGAGGUCUACGGCAACGCUUGGAACAUCCAACAGCUACGUCGCUUCUACCCUUAAGAUGUUUUCAAGUUGUUCAUAUACCUCGCACCCACGCAAAGUUUAGUCAUCAAGGAAGGGUCGGUCUCGCCUCGGCAAAGCCCGACCCUCCCUCAGGGGCUAAAAGGGGGGAACCCCCUCUGCGUCGAAAUUUUCCUCGAAAAAAGAUUUCUUUUACCAGAAUAUCUUCCGUGCUUUCUGACUACUUCGAAAAGUGGAUCCUGAAAACGACGGAGUACACGUAAGCAGCCAAGGCUGACCGAGCCGAGGGACUCCUACGCCUCCGGGAUACGGAUACCUCACUCAUCACCUUCUGCGAUAAGUAACUCACGUUCGGAUAAAGUGAUUCCGCGGACCGAACAAGUCUUUACGUUCGGAAGCUCUUCUGCCGAAGCGAUCCUUCGAGCCUUCUCGACUGAGUCGGUGACAGGACCUCAUGGAUGGGUGAAAGUACGCGUAAGCGGCAAGGCCGACCGAGCCGAGGGACUCCCACGCCUCCGGGAUACGGAUACCUCACUCAUCACCUUCCGCGAGAAGCAACUCUCGCUCGCACAAACAUCCCUGUUACCGACAAAAAGUCCAGAUACUCGAAACAAGAGGAAAAGAGACGCAACUUUACAACGCAGCGAGGGUGUGUGUUCUGGCCUCGGUGGCCGCAGAAGGCACACGCUACAAGACAAUCUGAUCCUGCAGGCUCGGGUCUUCACGCUGGAAGGGGGUUGUAGCACCCUCGGCAUCGACGACACCUUCAGCGAGGUCCGACCCAGCCUCGGACGGUGACGCGGUCCAGGGACUUCUCUGGGAAUCCGGCCCGAGCAGGCGGCUCGGCCGGUUACCCCUGGGGCCUCGGCCAACCAUCUUCCAAGGGCGUCAGCUCGAUCCGAGGCCUCGGCUGAUCAACUCCGGCGUCGGUCCCGCUAACGGACAACCCGGCUAGGCUCCGGCCAACCAGGUUUUCAUUUUUGAGCCAACUCCGCCUCUGUUCGUGCUGAUAUCGCUACCCCUGGCCUCGGCUCGUCGAAGAGCGGCCAAGGGGUCUCUUUAACCAAGCUAGAGGAGCCUCAGACAACAAGGCCGAUCGAGCCGAGGGACUCCUACGCCUCCGGGAUACGGAUACCUCACUCGUCACCUUGACACGGGGCGACUCAUGCUUGGUGAAGCGGUUUAGAUAAUCGACAGGCAAGUCUUAGUGCUCGAAAAUGAGGAAAAAACACGGCUCCGUGCCAAAAUUACACACAUGUUCAGGCCUCGACAGCCAUAAUGAACAAAAACCCUGGCAUUCGAAGUGCCAUUACAAGCGGAACUCCGGUUCCCCCUCCGCAGGCACGAACAACCCCACUCCAUGGGGGAAGGCCUGCGGAGCAACGGAAGGCCGACGAGCGGCGCACCGCCACUUGCGCCACCACCGCGCCUCUUCGGUUGCGGAACCAAUGCCGCGACUCGAGGCGGCCCAGCGCACGACCCAGCGGCGCCAGCCUGGCGCGACGGUCAAUGCAGCCGAAAGUGGGCCGGUAGUAAUGACGGUGGCAGGCGGGCGGGAGUAGCGGUCACGUCGUCAGCCAAGCUCACGUCCCAUCCAGGGGCAGCAAGAGAGCCUCCUCUCACGGCGUGAAGACGACACGCCCGUGAUCCGUCCCUCGAACGGCUCGCGCACGCGCAACGGCCGCCCCGCCAACCACUCGCCCCGUCGCAUUAACUCCGCGGCGGGACAGGCGGCGCCUCUGGCAGGAGAAGCGGGCGACGCUUCGCCUUCGCCGUAAUAACCGCGCCAAAAAAGGUACGCCACGUCGUUCGAUUUCGUAUCCUUUUCCUUUUUUUCCUCUUUCUCUAUCUCUUGCAACAGGGACCGGGAAAGGGGGAUACCCCGAAAAGGAUCCUUCCCCGUGAAGGAACCAGGCUCCGAGCCCCCCUACUGAUCAGAGGUUCGAAGGCUGGCCCCCCGAGGGGUUCAACAGCCGCCUCAGAUCGCGUGGGCCCUACACCCACUACUGGUCAGAGGUUCGAAGGUCGGCCCCCCGAAGGGCUCCACGGCCGCCUCAGGCUACUCGGGCUCCGCGCCCAUUACUGAUCAGGGGUUCGAAGGCUGGCCCCCGAAGGGUUCACAGUCGCCUCAGACGCCGAGCGAGGGAUGACCAGGGGUACGUUCAAUACAUAACCAAGGCUCGGGCUGCGCUCCCGAGGUACCCUAGGACAUUUCCGAGACCAGCGGGAGCGAUCUUGUAACGGAAUCCCAUCGGAGGGAGGCAUCGAGCCCUCAGACCCCGUCGCCAGGGGACCGGGUCCGGCAGAUCACCCGCAGGUACUUUUGGGCGUGCCUCUGGCCCCUAGCCGACCCCCAACGAAUGGGGCACGGACGUCCACUCGGAUUACCCGCUUGCAGCUCACCGGAGACACCAUGUUCGGUGCCCAUCGAGGGUAACAUGGCGCUCUCCCCCCCUCCUCCUUGCGGAAAGGCGACGUAGGGGCGUAUGCAAAAAAGACGAGUCUGUCCCUGAUCGCCCUCUCGCCCUGUGCGGAGGCUCGGGGGCUGCUCUCGCAAACCCGGCUCCGGCCGAACCGUUGACAGCGUCAACAUACCAGCCCGAGAACUUGGGCCCCGACCGUGCACCUGGGCUACGGCCAGUUCGCAUGAGGGAACAACCAGACCAGCCGAAGCAUUACGCAAGGCAUUAAGACCUCGAAGGAGUGAAACCACUCCUCCGAGGCCUCGGGGGCUACACCCGGCAGGUGCGCUCGCGCGCACCCACCGGAACAAAAUGCAACCGAGAAAGGCUGGUCCCCUUGCAAAAAAGUGCGACGAAAGCCUCCAAGCGAGUGCUAACACUCCCUUCGAGGCUCGGGGGCUACUGUCGGGGACCAUAAUUAGGGGUACCCUCAAGACGCCUAAUUCUCAGCUGGUAACCCCCAUCAGCAUAAAGCUGCAGAGGCCUGAUGGGUACGAUUAAGUCAGGGAUCAGUCCAUACGAGCGACUCGAUCACGCCUCGCCCGAGCCUAGCCUCGGACAAGGGCAGCCGACCCCGAGGGAUUUCUGUCUCGCCCGAGGCCCCCAUCCAACGGCGGACACAUCUCCGGCUCGCCCGAGGCCUUGCCUUCGCUAAGAAGCAACCUUGACUAAAUCGCCGCGCCGACCGACCGAGUCGCAAGAGCAUUUAACGCAAAGGUGGCCUGACACCUUUAUCCUGACGCGCCCCCCCCCCCAGCAGAGCCGAAGUGACCGCCGUCACUUCGCCGCUCCACUGACCGGUCUGACAGAAGGACAGCGCCGCCUGCGCCACUCCGACUGUAGUGCCACUUGACAGAGUGAGACUGACAGGCAGUCAGGCCCUGCCAAAGGCACCAUAGGAAACUCCGCUCCGCCCGACCCAGGGCUCGGACUCGGGCUAAGCCCCAGAAGACGGCGAACUCCGCUCCGCCCGACCCAGGGCUCGGACUCGGGCUAAGCCCCAGAAGACGGCGAACUCCGCUCCGCCCGACCCAGGGCUCGGACUCGAGCUAAGCCCCGGAAGACGGCGAACUCCGCUUCGCCCGACCUAGGGCUCGGACUCGGGCUAAGCCCCGGAAGACGGCGAACUCCGCUCCGCCCGACCCAGGGCUCAGACUCGGGCUCAGCCCCAGAAGACGACGAACUCCGCUUCACCUGACCCCAGGGCUCGGACUCCGCCCUGGCCUCUGCCGAACGACCUCCGCCUCGCCCGACCCAGGGGCUCGGACUCGGCCUCGGCCACGGAAGACAGACUCAACCCCGGCUUCGGAGGAGCCCCCACGUCGCCCGACCUCGGGCGCGGGCCCGCCACGUCAACAGGAAGCGCCAUCAUCACCCUACCCCGAGCCGACUCGGGCCGCAGAGAACAAGACCGGUGUCCCAUCUGGCUAGCUCCGCCAGAUAGGCAAUGAUGGCGCCCCGCGUGCCCUGUGACGACGGUGGCUCUCAGCUCUCUUACGGAAGCAGGAGGACGUCAGCAAGGACUCGACCGCUCCGACAGUUGUCCCUCCGCCAGGCUCCGCCGCUCCUCUGACGGCCACGACAUCACACCAACUGGGCGCCAAGAUCUCUCCGGCUGCCACAUCGGCAUGUACUUAGGGCGCUAGCUCUCCCCCGCUAGACACGUAACACUCUGCUACACCCCCAUUGUACACCUGGAUCCUCUCCUUACGCCUAUAAAAGGAAGGACCAGGGCCUUCUUAGAGAAGGUUGGCCGCGCGGGGACGAGGACGAGACAGGCGCUCUCUUGGGGCCGCUCGCUUCCCUCACCCGCGUGGACGCUUGUAACCCCCUACUGCAAGCGCACCCGACCUAGGUGCGGGACGAACACGAAGGCCGUGGGAUUUCCACCUCACUCACGCCCGUCUCCGGCCACCUCGCUUCCCCCCUUCGCGCUCGCCCACGCGCUUGACCCAUCUGGGCUGGGGCACGCGGCACACUCACUCGUCGGCUUAGGGACCCCCGGUCUCGAAACGCCGACAAUAGUGAUAUUUGUCGUUCUGUUUAUUUGUUUCAUACAAAUUUUUUACUUCCGUAGCAACGCACGGGCACUCACCUAGUAAUACAUAUAUAGACGUUAAUUUUAUAUACAAUACAACCCAAAAAAUCUAAUAAUAUAUUUUAAAUUUAACGUAUUUAAAAUUGUUAUUGAGGAACAAUGCAGACUAAAAUAACAAUGUAUUUGUACUUCUAGAUCUAAUAUGAUUAUCUUAAGAAAUAAUAGAACUUCGUCAUGUCCAUUGCUAGAAAGAUACUUCUUCCAUUUUUAAUGCAAAAUUAUUAAGGACGAUAUUAAAAUCAACGGUGUUUAACAUAUCCUUCUAGAUAGUGUAUAUAGCCAAUCCAUUUAACUUUUAUUGUGACAUAGUUGAUCUCAAAUAGUUUUUCAACAACUUUAAUUUUAAGAAACUUCUUUUAGCCAAAGCUACAGUCGCGGGUAAAGAGGACUCGAUAGGUGAAUAAGACAUUUGGUAGCAAUCUACAACAUAACAAAUUUCAAAAUCUUAGACGCUCACAUCUAAGAAUAUGGGUUGCCAAACUCUGACAUGAUUGGUGCAAGGGUAUUGGAUGAUAGACUCAGCAAUAGAAAACUAAUUAGCCAUGCGACAAUAUAGGCUCCAUGGGUCGUGUAUCUGUAUUUAUAUAUUAUUUGGCUAGAACUAAUUAUGAAGUGCUUAGCACUUCAAUUCUUAGGACUAUAAAAUAGACAUCUCAUGAUAUCAAUAAACAAAAGGCAAACAUUCACCCAACAAUGUGUGCUUCUCAUCUCUCUGGCACAUCGUCACCUCUGUAGGAAACGGGUGACGCCUAAGAGGGGGGGUGAAUUAGGACUUCUAAAACUUUCGCUAAACUAGGCCACAAUUAAAUCCCUAGAGCAAAACCUAUGCAAAUAGUCAAACUAGAAUGAGCAAACUAGGUUUUGUCUAAGUGUUGCUAUCUCUACCGCAAAGGCUAAGUUUCAAUCUACACUAGAUAUGUAUGAAUACAAGAUUGAAACUUAAAUGCUUAAUAUAAAUGCGGAAUGUAAAGAGCUAAGUAGAGAAGCAAACUCUCGUGGAUGACGCCGGUAUUUUUACCGAGGUAUCCGGAACCAUGCAAGGUCCCGACUAAUCCUCGUUGGUGCCCCUACGCAAAGGGAAGCCCACGCGAGGGCCAAGCACCACGGUCGAGUAACUCCGUAGAGAGCCACGGGCCUUCUCCACGCGCAAGUGGUGCUCCGCUUCCGGCUCCUCUCGGACGCUCCCCGCCGUCUCCACUAUCGAGCUUCCGGCCGAAACGUCGCGGGCCUCGUUCCCUCCGGUACACGGUGGCGGCCGUGACACAAACGCGGUUGUCACGGUCUCGCAAGACUCUCGCCCCACUCGGUACAAUUACAACGACUCACACAAGAGCCGAGGGGUUGUGUGGUUUUACAAAACUCACUCAACUAACUAGGGUUCACCUAGAGCAAGCGCUAAAGCGGUCUAACUAACCUAAGCACUUCUCCUACGCUAAUCACCGAGUGAUUCUAUUAAGCACUUGGGUGUUUGAGCUCUUGGAAAUAUGCACUAUGUGUCUUGGUAUGUUGCUUGGGCUCUCACACAUGAGAAUGGCCGGUUGGGGUGGUAUUUAUAGCCUCCACACCCCAAACUAGCCGUUGGACAGAAAGCAACAGCUUUCUGUCGUCGGGUGCACCGGACAGUCCGGUGCACCACCGGACACUGCACAGUGGAUGUCCGGUGCACGCCACGUCAGCCGACCGUUGGCGCCUGUAGCAGUCGACCGUUGGAUCCGACCGUUGUCGUCUGCCCAUGGCACACCGGACAGUCCGGUGCACACCGGACAGUCCGGUGCUACAGCCAGAGAGCGCCUGCUGCGGCCUCUCUGCGCAGACUGUCCGGUGCCACACCGGACAGUCCGGUGCACACCGGACAUCAAUGUCCGGUGCUCCACCCGGCGCUGGCUGACAGCCCACUUCUUGGAUUUCUUCACUGAUUUCUUCGGGCUUCUUUUGUUCUUGAGUAUUGGACUCCUAUGCAUCUUUUUAUGUCUUCUUUUGAGGUGUUGCAUCCUCAUUGCCUUGGUCCAAUUCUCUUCACAUCCUGUGAACUACAAACACAAACACUAGAAAACUUAUUAGUUCACGGAUUGUGUUGUUCAUCAAACACCAAAACUCAAUUAGCCAAAUGGCCCGGGGUCCAUUUUCCUUACAAUCUCCCCCUUUUUGGUGAUUGAUGACAACACAACCAAAGCAAGCAAAUAUUACAAGUAUUUGAAUGAAAAUAUGCAUUUUACUUGCUAAGAUGCAUGAUUGUCCCCACAAUGUGAUAUUAUGGACUUAAGCCUCCCCCUAACUCCAUAAUUCACUUACUUCCUAUUUUUGGACCAAAUAACCAAAACCACUUGAAAAGCCAUUUGUAGAUAUAAAAUUUUAAAUUGGUGGUGUUUGGUGUUUGAUAAAGUUCAUUGCUUUGGUCCCUAAACUUCUCCCCCUUUGGCAUCAACCACCGAAAAGGAAGACAUUAAAAGCAUGUAGGAAGUAAAUAAAAGCUUGCCCUCAACAAGAAUUGUAUCAAAUGAUAUCACUAGAAGGAUAUUAAAAUAAACCAUAUGAAUGAUACCAAUUGAAAGGAACUCCCCCUAAAUGAGUGUUCUCUUUAGAAAGAAGUUUCUCCCCCUUUUUUAGAGAUGAAGAAAUACUCCCCCUGACAGAGAUCCUCUACUUAGGAAAAAGCAUGUGAAAAAUUAGAGGUGCAAGACAUGGUUUGAAAAGACUAACUUCCCUUAUGCAUAGGUAUAUAGUCUAAUCAAAUAUUGGAGAAGACAUGUAAAUGAUACUGAAUGUAGUCUCAAAAGAUACCAAUUGAAGAUCAAUGGCGAGCUUGAGAGACAUGAGAGUUCUUGGAGAUUUUGCAGUGGAAGAUUGUUGUCUUUCUCCGGGGACUUCAUUUUCCUUACAAUGAGACUAUCACAUGAAAUAGACUUGAAAAUGUGUUAGUCUCAAAGUGUUAGAUUAUAGAGUAACCUCCCCCUAAAGGUGUGCAUACAAGUUUUGAAUACUUGUAGGAGACAUGCACUUUGAUUUGAUAUCAAGAGGGGCAAAUUAUCCAUAAUCCAAACUUUGGCACAUAUAAGUUAAAUGAUACACUUUGUAGAAAUCAAAAUUUUCAAUUGAUGCAUCAUUUACUAUGGAGUGAUAUAAAAGCUAUGUGUCGUGCUUUAACUAAACAUUUUAAGCCAUGUAGGUUUGCUUAAGUAUAUGAAUUUAAAAACUAGCAAUCCUACCAUAUGAUUUACCUAGUAUGCAUGAUUUUGAACAAAAGUACAUAACAAAUGUAAUACUAGGCAAGAAAGGUAACCUAGAUAAAAGAUAAAUAGAUACGCAUAUCUAAAAACGAGAAAUACAAUAAAACUAGUUACCUUAGUCAUGGGUGGAAAAUUUGGGUCCAAAAUUUUCACUAACCCACUUGGCAAUAAACUUGAUCCAAUAUGAUGUAUCCCAUGAUAUACAUCCCAAUUUAGCCAAGUCUCCAAAUUUCCCGAAGACCUUUGGUCCACUCACUUCCCUUUCGGGAUCCAAACCUUCUUGGUGCUUUUCAUGGUUGAAAUUAUCUCCUUUGGCACCCAGAUGUGUUUGGCCCCCUUUCCUUUGUUGGCUUGCUUGUUGGCCUUGAUUGCUAUCACCUUUCCGUUCUUUUUCUUCUUGAUCAAAUAUGGUGUAGCAUCCUUUUUGUUCACCUUUUUGAUGUAGGUGUUUGAGAUUUUGCUUGAUGGCUUUUGCUUGAGCUUUUGUCUUUGUUUAUCCCCGGUCAUCGCCUUGCAUUGGAAAGACUUGUGGCCUUCCUUGUGGCAUAGCCUACAAAUCACAGUUUCUCCCUCCAUAGGCUUGUUCACUCCCGCAGUGGUGUUAUCCUGUGGAGGUUGGAUUUGUUUGGCUUUGCCUUUCUUGUCAUACAAAGCCUUGCCAAGGCGAGCCACUUCUUGCUUUAAUUGUUCAUUUUCCUUUGCAACCUCAUCCGUACAUGUCUCUACAACAAUAUUCUCAACAACGACUUGGUUGCAAGGGUUAGAAUCAUCAAUUAAAUCAAAGCAGGAAGUAGAAGCAUCUUUCUUAAUUAUUUCAGGUAUUUCAACUAAAGAUGCUGCUGGGGUGCUACCAAUGUUUUCUAGCUUAGUAGUUAGCUCAUUGUUGUGUAUGCUAAGAAUUUCCAUUUUCUCUAGCAAAUUUUCAAUAGCUUCUUGGGAGCUAGCUAACUUAGCCUUAAGUUUUUCAUUCUUUUUAAUAAGGCUAUCCUCGGUAGCAGUGGAUGGAGCACUAGAUUCUAAUAGCUCAAUUUUAGUUGAUAGCUCACUAUUUAAGUUUGCAAAAGUUUCAAAUUUUUCUAGCAAACCUUUGUAAUCAUUUUGAGAGCUAACCAACUUAUUUUUCAAAGUUUUAAGUUGAGCUUUUUGCUUAGUGCAAACAUCCUGGAAAAAUUCUACGGCUUCCGCAAGCUCAUCUAGAGAGGGCUUUCCCUCACCUUCAUCAUCACUACUACUUUCAUCACUAGAGGAUGGAAUGCUUUUGUUACCUCUUGUCAUAAGACAUUUGUGUGAUGACCGUGAUGAUCGUGACGAGGACCGGUGGCUGCGCGUCCUUGGAGGUUCAUCUUCACUUGAAGAAUCAUCCCAAGUUCUAACACUUGUUAGCGCCUUGCCUUUGCUCCUCUCCUUUUUGGGCUUGGCCAUAUUUGGACAGUUGUCCCUGAAGUGGCCCUUCUCCCCACAUGCGAAGCAUCCUCUCUUCCUUUGCUUUUUCCUGUCAAUGUUAAAGAGAAGAUCCUCGACCUGCAGGGGCACACCCAUUAGAUUAAUCUUGCGGAUCAUCCUCAUUACCUUUCCGACGCGUCGGAUUGUUUCUUCGUCCUCGGAGGAUGAUGUGCAUGGUUGAUUAUCUUCAUCAUCAUCACUUUCUUCUUCUUCCUCUUCUUCACUUGAGGAACUUGGAGUGGGAGCCUUCUUUUUGCCCUUCCUUUCAUCACAUGCAAAAGCAUAUGGCCUUGAGGAAGUUGGCUCCUCUCCUCGACUCAUUUUUCGCGACAUCUCAAAGGCCGCGAUUUUCCCAAUCACAAUGGUCGGGGUCAUGUUGCUCAAAUCCUCCAUGUUGUGAAGGAUGGUGAUGAUGCUCCCAUAUCUUUGUUGUGGUAGCAGGGAGAUAAUCUUCCUCACAAUGUCCGCAUCGCCUAGCUUAUUAAUGCCAAUAGAGUUGAGCUCAUUGAUUAUUAGAUUCAAACGAGAAUACAUGUCUCUAACAAGCUCAUCAUCUUUCAUAGCAAAAGAAUUAUACUCAUUUAAGACUAGGUAAUGUUUUUGCUCACGGACAUUGGAUGUGCCGUCAUGGAGCUCAUGCAAUUUUAGCCAAAUCUCAUUAGCAGUUUUCAAGGUAAAUACUUGGUUAAAAAUAUCCAUGCUAAGAGAUUCAUACAAGCAAUUUUUGGCUCUAGCAUUUAAAUGGAUUUCUUUUUCCUCACUCGUGGUGGGUUUCUCGGGAUUCUUGAGGGGUUUCAUCCCGUCACGAGUGACUCUCCAAACACCUAGAUCAACGGCCUCUAGGUAACAAGCCAUUCUAGCACUAUAAUAUGGGAAGUUAGUGCCGUCGAAGUGUGGUGGCCUAUGGGUAUCCAUCCCUUCCUCUAAAAAGUGUCGGCUCUUUUAGCGGUGAAGCUAAAACGUUUCAAAUGAGCCAAACCGGGCUCUGAUACCACUUGUAGGAAACGGGUGACGCCUAAGAGGGGGGGUGAAUUAGGACUUCUAAAACUUUCGCUAAACUAGGCCACAAUUAAAUCCCUAGAGCAAAACCUAUGCAAAUAGUCAAACUAGAAUGAGCAAACUAGGUUUUGUCUAAGUGUUGCUAUCUCUACCGCAAAGGCUAAGUUUCAAUCUACACUAGAUAUGUAUGAAUACAAGAUUGAAACUUAAAUGCUUAAUAUAAAUGCGGAAUGUAAAGAGCUAAGUAGAGAAGCAAACUCUCGUGGAUGACGCCGGUAUUUUUACCGAGGUAUCCGGAACCAUGCAAGGUCCCGACUAAUCCUCGUUGGUGCCCCUACGCAAAGGGAAGCCCACGCGAGGGCCAAGCACCACGGUCGAGUAACUCCGUAGAGAGCCACGGGCCUUCUCCACGCGCAAGUGGUGCUCCGCUUCCGGCUCCUCUCGGACGCUCCCCGCCGUCUCCACUAUCGAGCUUCCGGCCGAAACGCCGCGGGCCUCGUUCCCUCCGGUACACGGUGGCGGCCGUGACACAAACGCGGUUGUCACGGUCUUGCAAGACUCUCGCCCCACUCGGUACAAUUACAACGACUCACACAAGAGCCGAGGGGUUGUGUGGUUUUACAAAACUCACUCAACUAACUAGGGUUCACCUAGAGCAAGCGCUAAAGCGGUCUAACUAACCUAAGCACUUCGCCUACGCUAAUCACCGAGUGAUUCUAUUAAGCACUUGGGUGUUUGAGCUCUUGGAAAUAUGCACUAUGUGUCUUGGUAUGUUGCUUGGGCUCUCACACAUGAGAAUGGCCGGUUGGGGUGGUAUUUAUAGCCUCCACACCCCAAACUAGCCGUUGGACAGAAAGCAGCAGCUUUCUGUCGUCGGGUGCACCGAACAGUCCGGUGCACCACCGGACACUGCACAGUGGAUGUCCGGUGCACGCCACGUCAGCCGACCGUUGGCGCCUGUAGCAGUCGACCGUUGGAUCCGACCGUUGCCGUCUGCCCAUGGCACACCGGACAGUCCGGUGCACACCGGACAGUCCGGUGCUACAGCCAGAGAGCGCCUGCUGCGGCCUCUCUGCGCAGACUGUCCGGUGCCACACCGGACAGUCCGGUGCACACCGGACAUCAAUGUCCGGUGCUCCACCCGGCGCUGGCUGACAGCCCACUUCUUGGAUUUCUUCACUGAUUUCUUCGGGCUUCUUUUGUUCUUGAGUAUUGGACUCCUAUGCAUCUUUUUAUGUCUUCUUUUGAGGUGUUGCAUCCUCAUUGCCUUGGUCCAAUUCUCUUCGCAUCCUGUGAACUACAAACACAAACACUAGAAAACUUAUUAGUUCACGGAUUGUGUUGUUCAUCAAACACCAAAACUCAAUUAGCCAAAUGGCCCGGGGUCCAUUUUCCUUACAACCUCUUUUUCUAAGUGUUCCACAAGGUAAGCGCCAUGUUGUCCUGAUAUGGUCUCUAGCAGAUUGCAUCAGGGCAGUACGAUAUAUCACCUUACCCUCAGUAGAUUUUGUACUAAGUGUUUUUAUUGGCAAGAUCUAUUAGUUAUUUUGCAUAGCCUCAAUCUACUUGAAUUUUAUUGUUUAAGCUUCAUGUCAUGGUUGAUACAUUCCAUGAUAUGCGACUGCAAUAUGUGCAUACAACAACUUGAGAGUUUGAUACGCAUCUGGCACCCUACAUUACAUGCUCUAGUCGCGUUAUUUAGUUUGGAUAGACUUCUUUGGAGGUCCUGAUCCAUGUGUCAUGCAUGGCUGCAUAUGUUUCUAGGGUUGUUAGUAUGAUACAUACUAUAGAUCAGGUCUAGAAUGUUCAUAUAAAUAACUUGUUGUUUAUUUGGCCUUGGUUUCAGUUUAUGGUGUGGGUAGUUCUGAUGGUUUUUGGCUCGUUACUGUGCCUUUAGCUGUACGUGUGGCACGCGUCGCUCUAGGACCAGUAAUGUUUUAAAACAUGCUCUAGUCAGAUUUUUUCUCUUUUCGAUAGUUACCAAUGGAUGUUUACAUUUAUUUACUUAUUCUUUAUCAACCUGGAAAAGAUGAGGCCAUGCUCUGCAGAGUGCAUAUAUUAUUGUGUGAGACAUAGUUUUGCACUAUAAACUGCACUAUUUAUACAAUGUAGUUUGAAAUAGAGAGUGGAAUAGGGGUGAGAAGGAAGGUUGCUGGAGAGAGCCUGGCAAUCAGCUUAAGAGAGUCGAUCAGUGCAACUAGCAUGGGCCGAUCCACACGAUAUGGCCAAAAUUUGACGUUUAACUUGUUGUUGUGUAUUUGCAGAGCGAUUUACCAACCACCAAGAACCCCUAUGUGAUUGACAGUCUAAGGUUGUCCGUAGCGCUCGUCGCGCGGCCACCCCUCCCCUUGCAUGGAUUGCCCCCACGCCCGCAACGUAGCCCCCUGCCAGGCCCUCCCUCAGGAGAAAGUGAACAGGAAGUCGCCACAGGUAGCGUGAACACGCUGGAUCCUCUUUCAUUGUUCAUAUGUACUUUAGUUUUUUAAUAGAUGAAGAAAAAAUGUAAUAGAUGAUGAAUAGGGUUGGAUAAUGAUAUUUUAUAGUUAUAGUGGGUAUAGGGGGAACCACCGUGAAAGAUAAAAAUAUAGAGAAUGAAAUGUUGGUGUAACGCAAAAAGUGAUAUAGGAAGAAAAAUUUGGAAUUAACCGAUAGUCUAAAGCAGCUAACACACUUAGAACACUCACUAUCUCUAGCAGUAGGGGUCGCUAGCGCCUCGCUGAUCGCCGCCCCUGCCCUGCGGAGCGGCGGCACGAUGCGGGCAGGGACGACUGUGCCCUAUAAUGUCGGAUACCAUAUAAUUUGCCACCAUGUUGGCAUAAUUUUGCUAUACCAUAUAUAUAAUUUGCUAUUUUCUGUUUGCAUACAACAUACAUCACCAUACACUGUUCAGACUAUCCUAAACCAUAAAUUACACAUGAUACUGAAAUCAUUGGCUCAUGAUGCAAAUCAUCAUACGCUGUUGAGGCUAUCCUCAACCAUAAAUUAACACGAAACAGAAACCACUGGCUGACGAGUUAAAAACAGGUGUGAGAAAUACUCACCGUUUAUGAUUGCUAUAAGAAACAGAAAAUUAUUUUUUGUGUCGUGUAUUUGUGGUCGUCCAUGAUUUUAUAGUAUACGAUGUAUUCUUAUAAUAGAGUGUUGAUGCUAAUUUGACACGCCGGCGAGGACAACACUGCCGCAUCGAAAGCCUGAUUCGGCCGUCGAUCGUUCCCAUCAUAGUAGGUCGGACAUUUUAUUUUGUUGCUUGCCAAUUCAUCAAUGGUUAUUAUGGUAACAUAGAGUUGUUUGGUUGCAGAGAAUAAAGUUUAGCUUGUGUCACAUCGAAUAUUGAAAUUUCUAUUAUAUGUAUUAAAUAUAGUCUAAUAAUAAAAUCAAUUGCACAACUGAAGACGAGAAGACGAGACAAAUCUAUUAAACCUAAUUAAUCUAUAAUUAACAAAUAUUUAUAGUAACAUCAUAUGAGCAAAUAAUGGACUAAUCUCUACUAUACUUAAAACACCAGUUUCAACGAUCGUCCUACGUCAUUUUUUUAUAAAAAAAAUCGUUAUAUUUCUUUCAAAUCAACUCAACGUAAAAUAUUAAAAAGUGGUGCAGUAGGUGAGGUUUGAACCCACACCCUGAUGGAAGAAGGGUGGAAGACACUAGUUCAUUAAAAACGUAGUGUUCAUAGUGUAAAAUAUUUGUUUCAUAGCUAAUUUCACUAAUAAUUUUUAGCCAACGAACUGAACAGGUGACUGUGAGGUAGCCAGUGUCAGUGGCUAUAGUUCAUUAAAAACGUAGUGUUCUGUCCACAUGGUUUUUAUCAAGUCCUACGUACGUUAUAAUCUGCAGAUAAUGUGGGUUUUAGGCUUACGCGAAACGCAAUAAAACUUGCAAAGAACAAAAAGACAACCAUGGCAUCUACACAAAUUUAAGUGCGGAGCUCACACAUGGUUAUAUGGUUCAUAUCAUAGCAACAGCAAGAAAUCCCAUCUGUAUACUUCUCUACCUAAAAACACGAACUCUCUCUGCUCCAACAACUGUACAACCCUCCAAAUUCAACAGAUAAAAGAGAGAUGGUGUAAAAAAAAGAAUAGCUGCACUAUUUCUUUCGACAAUGUGUGCUUGAUCUUGACAUGAAUAACACACUAGACACUUUUUUCCUGAACGGAAUAGCAUGAGCACUUCGUUCGACGUACCAUUUACAUCUAUUUCACAUGUCCGGAUCAAGGUAUACAAGCCAUACAAAACACCUAGAAUCAAGAAAAGAAAAAGGCUAUAUCAGACAGUAGUGUUAGCAGUAAAGUACGAGUUGAUGGUCUAUGCCAGGAGUCAGGGCACUGACCGAUCCAUCUCACAAUGCAUCUGCACCCUUACCACCUCUCUUGCUAACCACCUCGCAGAGUCGGCAAGGCAGCGUGUCAAGGCUCAUCUCGCGUGCCCUGCCGAAGUUACCCAACGCACCACAACGCCUCCACGCGUGGUAUUCAGCGUAGGCUACGGGGUCAUUUGCCAGCGUCUUCACAUACGAUGCCAGCUUUCUGAGUGAACUGAAUUUGGAGGCGUCUAUGAUAGAAUUAGGAGGGACGAAAUCCCAGACAUUGGGCGCCCCAAAGUAUAUCGGCACCGACCCAGCCUCCAAAGCGUAGAACAGCUUCUCGGUCACGUAGCUUUCGGUCUUGGUGUUCUCGAUUGCAAGAACGAACUUGUAAUGUGACAUCGCACAGUGUAGGUGAUCCCACCAGUGUGGCGUGCCGUUAUCGUUGGUGGAGCAGACUGGAUACAUGGAUAGCGCCAUGUCAGGACCGCCGACAUUGUUCAAACAUCUUCCGAAGGAAUGGUGAGGAACCAGCGAGAGGAAGUCUUUUGCGAGCUUAUCUCUAUGAGGAAGACACCUUGAAGAUGACCAGUAGAUAAGUGCAUCCUGGUACAGACAAGAAAUCAGCAGUUAAGGAGAUUAAAACCACAACUGAGUAUUACUACAGCGGAACUACUGCCUAUAGUUGAAACUGUACAACAUUGAUAUAGCAUUACAGCAGAAGGUAUGCACAAUUUCAUCUCUGACAGCAAAAACACAAAUUACACACAAGUGAAAAGAUUUGAUGUUGCUAACUGUUAAUCAUGGCACAUGACCACUAUUAUUUACAUGUAGAACCAUUUGACCCUAUCUUGUGAUCACUCUGGUAAGAAUACAUUAAGAUCAUCUAUGCCAUGUAAGGAUGUCCAGCCAUGCUUUUACAUUUUGUAUCAAUUCUAUUCCAAAUAAUGAUGGAAAUUGGAAAGCGACCAAAGAAUGAUAUAAUUAUGUGACAUACUCAUGCCAAGAGAAACGUAGUUGGAGUGAGUAUCAAAUUGAUCAGGCAUGCAAAAUGUUGCCUUGAUAUCAUUUGGCAUUUAUAUUUGAGACUUUAGACUUACGUUUCUCUUUUCAGUUGAUAUAUGGUAACUUCGGCUGGUGUGAAAUGAUUUUCCAGCAUAUGUUACUUGCACAUCAUCACUGGCAUGGUAACCGACAAAAAUGUCCUCAAAACCAGUUGGCUUCCUACUGGCCUCCAGAUCCAGGUAAACACGAAGAGGCAAACCUUUCAUUCUCUGCAAAACAUAUUACAGAACAUUUGAAAUGAAAAUGGAUAUAGAUGAAUAGCAAUUGAGAAUACAAGAAAUUAUUAUCAAAAGAAUUGAGUGUUGGAUCCAUAGGUAAUCGAUGAAAGCUGGCAAAGUUUGCACAGUCGUAGCUACGCCACCAAGGCACCAACCAAAUGCCUAGGUACCAAAUGACCAAUCAGAACAGCACAAUUAACUGACAGAACAUUCAGCACUAGUAGUGUAAGGUUCUGUUUGAAUCAGCUAAACUUUCUAUAAGAGCAAGUAUAAUAAGGGGCUAUAAGCUGGCUAAAUGUUGAGGUGGAUGAGACGAGAAGCGGGCUGUAAACUUACAGCCGGCUUAGACAUAAGAACUAAGAAAAAUUGUGAGAGAUAUAAGUGGGGUCUUGCAUUAAUAGUGAAGAGCUAACUACUAUACGGAUGGACAAAAUGGUAGGCUGCAAGGAUACUUACAGGUGGCAGGAGGCCGUAUUAUCAAACUUGCUCUAAGCUGCAAUAGCUGGAGAAAACCGGCUCAUAACUUUUUAUAAGCUGGGCCAUUGAAUAGUUCAAACUGGUUAUAAGUUGGACUAUAAGCUGAGCUUUUUGGAUCAGCUAGAGCUCUUUUUCAACAGCUAGAGCUAGCAAGCUAUUUUAGUCAAUCCAAACAGGAUGUAAGUAAGGUGCAAUGGAAAAGGAGGCAAGCAAUCUACAACACAGUUAUUAGGACCGGACCAGAGAUCGAACAGUUUGCAGACCAGGGCAACAUAUCUAGUUUUCCAGAAUUAUGUUGGGCCCUUCGAAUGCGUUGGCUCUGGCUGCAGAAGACUGAUCCUACUCGCCCUUGGUCUGAUCUCCACAUAAAAGUUCCUGGAAAAGCUAGAGCUUUCUUCAUGGAGGUGGUCAUUACUGAGGUGGGAGAUGGCACAAAUACAAAGUUUUGAAAGGAUAAGUGGUUAUAUGGUAAGCGAAUUAAAGACCUUACUCCAAGUUUAUAUAAUAUUAUACCCAAGAGGAUUAUCAAUAGCAGGACAGUUUAUGAGGCAAUUACAGAUAGAAAAUGGAUCUCUGAUAUUAAAGGUCCACAGACAGUGGGAGUCUUAACAGAUUUUCUUCAGUUGUGGGAUAUGACUUCAGUUUGGCAGCUGCAGCCUGAGGUUGAGGAUAAACAUGUUUUCAGUAUUGCUCCUAAUGGCAUCUAUUCAGCAAAGAUUGCUUACGAGGGCUUCUUUUUGGGGUCUGUAAUUUUCCCUCAUCACAAGAAAAUUUGGAAAACUUGGACCUUGCCAAAAUGUCGUUUCUUCAUCUAGCUGGUUGCACAAAAUCGUCUCUGGACAGCGGAUAGACUUGCUAAAAGAGGGAUGAGUCAUCCUGAGAAGUGCCCCUUUUGUGAUCAAGAAGAUGAAACUAUUGAUCAUCUCCUUGUUACCUGUUCCUUCUCCAGGGAAUUCUGGUACCUGUUGUUAAGGAAUUUCGGUCUGCAUUCUUUGGCUCCUCAACCUGAUGUUGGCUCAUAUCUAGGCUGGUGGGAAUCGGUGGGGAAUAUUGCUACUGGGCUCACUAGAAAAGGGCUUGAUUCCCUUAUCAUUCUGGGAGCAUGGACCUUGUGGAAACAUAGAAACAAAUGCGUUUUUGAUGGCUGCAACCCCAGAGUUACCAUGAGUCUUAGAGCUGCUAAUGAGGAAAGGAUGCAAUGGGAGAUUGCUGGUGCCAAGGGGCUCUGCCAUCUAGUUGUACCUUUAGCUGAGACCUAAGGAGGGUCUAAUGGAUAUUUUUAUGUAUGCUUCUUACUGGCCUCCGUAAGGAGGCUGUUUUGUACUGGCCUUUCUUGGCCUCCUUUUUCCACUUCUUAAUAUAUUAUGGGGCGCAGUUCUCCUGCGCUUUCGAGAAAAAAAAAGGAAGAAAUUUCUUUGGUUUCACCGAUUUAGUCCAACAAACAAUGGAACCAUUAUUCUUUAGGAGAUUUUGGACCAGGAAUGCAUCCCUCAUUUCAACAAGAAACCUAAUACCCACUCCAAAAAAAAUCUUCCAGAAUAGCAUUAUCAAGCAUACACAUGGCAUUUCAGAAACAUCUUGUAACCUAACAUUUUGAAAAAGGAGAAACAAGCCACGCAUCCACGUUAGGUAGGUACUCCUACCUCUCUCACCAAACAGAAAUGGAUUUUUUUGGCAUACCAGUUCUCUUGUUCCACCACACAAGCAUUACUGAGCAAGGAUCAGAAUUCAUAGCCAAUUCGAUCUCUCUUGAGGUACCCCAAAAUCUAUCAGUUCAUUAUAACAACAUAAAAGGUGAUAAUCUCAUAUCGACAGAACAAUAAAAGAGGGAAAGAAGUCCGGUACCUGCGGCGGAGGCGUGGCGCCCUCAAAGAGCAGCGCGUCGGGACGGUCGACGGCGGCGGCAGACUUGCUCCAGACGCAGCUAACCCCGCAGCGGCAGGUGUAGACGCCGUCGAGCGCGUCAGGGAUCCAGGUCCAGCCCUUGACGAGCACCCCGACGUGGCGCGCUGCCAGGUCCUCGCACCUCGCGGCUCCGCGCCACGCGGCGCCGCCGCUGACGGACGCCGCCGCAGGGUCCUCCGCGGUGCCGUUAGCGCUGGCGCUGGCGCUCGCACUCGGCAGCGGCAGGCCCGGGCCCAGCCCCAGCCCCGCGGCGGCGAGCUUGGCGCGGACGCGGGGGCAGCCGACGGCGGCGUCCCAGGACGCGAAGGCCUCGAGGAGCGAGGUGAAGGGGUCGCGGUCGCGCGAUCCGACGGAGUCGAGCGCGGUGGGGAAGCGCGCUGCGCCCGCGAGGAGCGGCGCCGGGGUGGAGAUGGAGGGGAGCUCGAAGUAGCCCGAGAGGAGGAGGAGCAGGAUGGCGGCGGAGGCGAGCAUCGGGGCCACGUAGUUGAUGCGCUUCGGGAAGAGCAUCGGGGGUGGGCAGGGCACUUCGCGACCCUCCGCCCGCCGCGCCCGAUCGCCGGAGCGCGAGAUCUCUCGAGGAGAGGGAGCGGGGGAGACGCUGGCAGGCAGUGGGACGGGACGGGUCGGUGGUAGAAUGGGAAUGGGGGGCUUGUGCGCAAAACUGUCCGGGCCCUUCCGUUUCGUCUUCGGCGGGCGGAUGCGUGCGUUGUUGUUUACCCACUGACUUGUGUCGUCGAUAUCGUAUCGUGUAUCCAAAUUCCAAAUUCAACUGCUGGUUCUUCUUCUUCUUGUUUUUUUAUUGGAAGAGAACAUAUCUAGUGCAAAUAGAAGUUUAGUGCACAUGGUGCACAUAUUAAAUUAUCACCACUUAUAUUAGAUUUAACGUCUCUACUUGAUAAUUUUAAUUUACAAAUAACACCUUCCACCAUUACACCCCACCACGUUAGAGGGUGUCUUAGCAAAAUAUACCAAGCGAAUAGAGACGUUAGAUCUAAGAUAAGUGGUGAUGAUUUAAUAUGUGCACCAUGUGCACUAAACAUCCAUGUGCACAAGAUAUGUUUUCUAAUUUGAAACCUCCUUUUCUUCUUUUUCUUGUUAAUUCAGAAAGUGACUAUUCUUUUUCUUAGACUUUGACUUCCCUAUAUAAAAAUGGUCGAGGUUGAUAGAUUGAUUACAGAUGUACAGGUUUUCGCUUCCAUUUGUCAUUUCGCAAACAGCCAAACAUGAUCACGCAAGUUCUAAGGUUUUGCAAGCAAAGAAAAAGAAAAGAUACUGACUACUAUCAGGGCCGUUCCUGACUUUUGGGCUGACAUGACAAAAACACAUAUUUUAUGGAUUACUUAUAUAAGUUUGCGGUGGUAAUUUACAUAUGAUAUCUUGAUUUAUUUCAAAAAUGAGGAGAGCCAUGAGCAACAUUUAAGGCUUAUACCGUAGAGGCUCAGAGAUCACUAGCAGUAUGUAAAGUUAAGCAAGCGUAAGUUUUGCAUCCAUGAGACAUUGUUUCUUGGACAUGUAAUCUCUAACGGAGUGAGAGUGGAUCCAAGCAAGGUGGCUGAUGUUCUAUAAUCCAAGCAAGCACAGAAGGUUUAUAUAUGCUAGGAUUUUUCAGGAAAGCCAGGCCGAUGACUGAUUUGCUAGAAAAUAAUAUACAAUGUUUGUGUGGCCCCUUCCAUUGCUAGCAAAGCAUGGUGGGGUGAUCCAUGGAUCCUUGAUCUUGUCUGUCAGUGAGUGAGUGGCAGAAUCCCAGACGGAGGUCAACAAAUCGCAGAGAUCGUAUCGUAAUUCGUAACCAAAGGAAAGUGCGGACUAGCUGCGUAGUGCGAAAGUUCAACAGUCGGCUUCCAGCGAUAAAGGCGGGUACAUAGGAAGGAAGGAGACAACAAUCUCAAACUGUGACAAUGUUCUACACUACAGUGGAGAAAAACGAGCAUGAACCAGAGAUGAUGGUGGUGCAUCUGAAGCCGCCCAGAUACAUACAUCUAAAGCUGUCUGAGAUUAUCCAUAUUCAGUUCUGCCCCUUCUUCUGAGCACUCUGAAAGUGCUCAGGAGGUAGCAUCGAGAACGAACCACCACUAGAAGGCUCUCCUGUGAACCCGUCAGCAGGCCCGAAGCUGAGGUUGAAGGAGCCAAAGUUCGCCGUCGAGAGGAAGUCACCACUGCAUCCAUCAACAAAACCUUUGAUAUCCAGAGCACUGUUCUCCCCUGAGGACGAGGCACCCCACACGAAGCUGCUGCCGCUGCCGCCGCCCACUGAGCCAGCUGGGACUUUCGCUGGUUCCCGACGGCUCCCAGCACGGCCGGUCUGGUGCUGGUCCGAGCAAGCCUUCGGCGGCUCCUCCUCCAGCGGCGACGACAACGCGGGCGUGUGACCUUGGAACAAGGCGACGUGCGCGAAGAGCUUGUCCUUCCUCGAGAAACUCGUCCCGCAGGAGCACACCCACCUGUCCCGGCGGCCGCAGUGCUUCUCGUGCGUCCUCAGGUCGGCCACGAUGGAGAACUUCUUGGCGUGGCACCGGCCGCAGGUGUGGCUCUUCUCGCAGUGGCUCCGCCUGUAGUGGUUCUUCACGCACAGGAUGGUCUUGAGGGGCUGGAAGCUUUUGUGCAGCUUGUUCCGCUUGCACCCCGCGAACGGGCACGAGUACCGCCGCUUCGCCGGCUCCUGCUCCGCGCCCGGGUCCCUCGGCGGCUUGGCCAGCGCCGCCGGGCUCUUGUACUCGUCGCCGUGCCCUCGCAUGUGCAUCCGCAGGUUCGCGUCCCGCUUGAACCCUUUCCCGCAGAUGGUGCAAAAGUGCGUGUGCGGCGCCAGUAUCUCGUCCUCCUCCAGCUGCAGCAGCUCGUACGAGAGGCUGUCUCCGUCCUUGGUAAUUUCCUGCUCCUCGACAAGAACGCCGUCGUCGUCGACCUCAAUGCCGCCAUCGGUCCAUCCCUUGAACAGCUCCUCAUAGUCUUCAGAAACGGUCAUCGCAUUAGGCACUAGGCUCGAGCUUGGGCCAACAUGGUUAGCCAUGUCCACGUGGCCAGCAGGGUGGGGGUGGCUGAGGAACGACGAGUUCUUCAGUGACGGGAGCAGGCUGCCGGCGGUGGAGAUGAGCUGAACUAUAAGGCAUGUCAGGUCCGCGUUGACCACCUGCUGCUUCUGCUUCUGAGCCAGCAGCUCGCCUGCUUGGUGGUGGCACUGGACCUGCACCUGCCCGGCGUUGUCCACCAUUGUGCGGAUGACGUCCUUCACUUGCUGUAUCUUCUCCUCGAUGAAGGUGAGGUUGUCUAGCAUCGUGGCCGGGUUCCAGUCCAUGUGCGGGAUGUUGGUGGAUGGUGGUGAGGCGAACGGUGGUGGGUAUUGCUGCUCAGUCCCCAUGCCGAACUGGUAGUAGAGGUUAGCAGCUGGCUGACUAUGGAUGUGGUUAUCCAUUGCCGAUUAGCUUUCAGAGUUCUCUGUGUUUUGAGUUGGGAUCGGAGUCUGCAAAAGAAGAUUUGAAACCCCAACGGUUCGGUUCGUCAGAACCUGCAGAUCUGAACAUCCAUCGUUUACAGAUAGUUAGGUGCAUGUAAAAGGCACGAGUCAUUAGUUGAUUGAUAAUGGGUAGGAAAUAGCACGGCAUAGGAAAUUUCAACAUGUUAAAUGGUUCGUACUUGUCAAGCCAUGGCAACUAGUAUUUGGACACAAAGGACAGAAGCAGGCACAAAUUUGACAGGAUUUGAGGGAAAUACAGGUAAUCAAUUGCUCUCGUCUGGACGAGUCCCUCACGUCUGUUUGACCCAAGAAAGCCGUCCGCCCGUCCUUCUCUCUCUCUCUCUCUCUCGAGAGAGAGAGAGUCGAGAGAUCUCCGCCCCUCGACCUCCGUCAACAGUACGAUGACGCGAUAUCCAGACAGAAAUUAAACCCUUAACGACUUGUUUCCAAGAAAAUAUAGCAAGAGGCGCAUACCAGAGAGGAUGAGGAGGAACCGGCCGCGGCGGAGGAGGGCGGCGGAGGAAGCAGGCGGGAGGCAAGAAGCAUACUAGACGACGGAGGGAGGUGGGUGAGGGUUGGUCAAACUUGAGGAGAGGGAGGCGGAGCUCCCCAAUCCAAGAACCAAUCAGUCACACGGGUGUCCUACUAUUGUUUACUCGGUGGCCUGUGAAUAAUUGCGUAGAUUAUUGGCUCGCUCCUGAUCCAUCCUCGGAGGCUGCUGCCCUGCUGAUGCUCGUCGCCCGCUUACCAUGGACAUGGUCGUCACAUGGCCAUGUCAGAGACUAGACGAUGCCUAUGACCGUGUGAUGCUACCAUUGGCACGGUAAUAGGCAUCACGUGGAGAUGGCAACGGUUAUGUGUGACCUGAUAACAUAUGUGUAUUUAGGUAUAUAUAUGAGUUAAUGUUGUAUCCAUGGGUCUAUUAUUAGAUAAAAUCUUCACUGAACCGAUAAAUGGGUAUUAGAAUAUUCCGUCCUCACUCAUACCAGUUAACUCAUGGGUAUAAAAUACCUAGUGUAAACUUAGCUCAAAAGCAUGAACUUGAGUUUUAGUCAUCUAUCUUUUUUACUAUUUUCUUUUUUACUAUUUAACAACAUGUCAUAGAAGUUUUAACGACUAUUUAAUGACCAUGUAAUGGAACAUUUAAUGUGCUAUAUGGUACUAUCAUAAUAUUGCUUCUUUAUCCAACUAUCUUUGGUAUUGUUGAAUGGAUGAUUAAAUGAUGCUAGUAAUGGUAUUUAUUUAGAUAUACUUGACAUUUAUAUAAUGUAUCAUUUUAAAAGUGUUUAAUCUUUGCGGGUAUGAGUGACCCAUAACCACAUGUGUAUAGGGGGUAAAUUUAUACCCACCUGUAGAUAUGGGUGAUUCAAUAUAAUUAUUUUUUUAUCGUGGAUAUGAGUGUAGGAUAGUAAUAGCCGCAUUGACAUAGAUUGAUUACACUCUCUUUAUCAUACAUGAUCGACCGAUAUACUGGUGCUAAUCCAGCAGUAUAGUUACUAGUGAUACGACGGUUUAUCAAUCCCCAUUCUGCUCUGUAUAUUAAAAAAAGUAUCGUUGCGUAUGGAACUUCUCGUAAGAAAUUUUAACAUCUGAACGGAUGGUGAAGGUAGUGUUGAGCACCAUUUUGAGCCGUCAGACGGUCCGUCUCUGGGGUCGGACCGUUCGCGCCUGUGGUUCAGAUGAUCCGCGCGCGCGCCAAACCAGUUAGAGUUCCGAGUUUCUUGCUACAGUUGUUGGCUAGAUUCACGGAAUUAGCUCGGGAAAUCUGUUUGUAACGGGUCCAGUCCCCCUCCUCUAUAAAUAUAGAGGAUUACAGCCGAUUAAGCAUCAACAAUCGAAUCAAUAAUAAAUUUAUCUCGCAUUUAUUUCUUGUACAUUUAGGAGUAGUUCUAGUUUAGUCUUCUAAUCCUUAAAUUCUCUGCUUCUCUUCAACUCUACGUCGAUUAGAGGAGUCUAGGUCGACCUGCCGAGCCUAGACAACACCUAGGAUCUCUCCUCCCUGACGGGGUCCCUCCCGGGAGCGAGAUCCAGGCGCUGCCGGCGACUUUCGCCGCCCAUGCGCACGCGUGGACCGUCUGGCCUAUAGGCGCGGACCGUCCGACCCGUCAGGCAGGAAACCCUAGCCCUGCGCCAGGUCACGGACCGUCUGGCCCCUGGCCGCGGACCGUCCGCGCCUAUGCAGAGAGCACCGCCAUCAGUUCUCAUGUAAUGAUUGACGCCCAAAAAGGCACCAACAAACUUUUGGCAACUCCGCUGGGGACGAUUUUAUAUAGAUCUAUCAAGAUCAGCCUUCAAUGGCCGGUUCAAAUGAUAGCUCUGAAGUUUCCACCAGCAAUAUUAUCAAGCCCACAUGGGAAACCUUGACGGCUGAAGAACAGCUCCCGUUCGAGGAGCGCCAGGAGCAACUGAUCCAGAAAGCAAAGACAAAAUUCCUAGCCAAUUUCAAGGUGGACAGGAACAACAAAGUCAUUCGACAACGGGUGACAGAUCUGGCUUCGCUCCGGCCUACUACAGAUAUCCCCAAUGUAAGUAACACCAAUGAGCUCCAAUCCCUUAAAGCUUACAUAGACGAACAGCGAGAGCAGAUGCAACGUAUCGUAGGAGAUAUACAAAAUGAUCGUAAAAGGCUAGUGUGUGCGCUUGAUAAGUCUACUAUUGCAAAUUUUACUUUGCACGAGGUUGAACUGAGGGAAUAUACGUGUGAUUCAUCGGCUACAGGUUGUCACGACCAGUCACAACCCCUUUAUGGGAUGUCGAGGUACAUUUACUCUGGAAAACCACAGCCUCCUACGCACAUAGGUGAUAAACUCGUCGAUCUGCGCAUGUCCGGACCGUCCGCACAUGAGCGCGGACCGUCCGUGCCAGCGGCGACCGAUCCCAUUUUUAGAAGUGAAAUACUGAGGCCUGCACCCAAGCCGCCACAUACCGUGCAAACCCUAGAUAACCCAUUCGAACCGUCCGCGUAUGGCGCCAGAUAGUCCGAAUAUAACGCGACGGUCCGUCCAUAAGGCCGGACAGUCUACGCACGUAGCUGGACGGUCCGCGUAUUUAAUCGGACGGUCCAGCACAGAGUUUUUUGAGGAGGAUGGAUAUCCAACUCCACAUCUGUUCCAGCUAAACUCCCAUCUCACCAUACGACAUACCAGCACCAUGAUAUAACCUACCAAACCCAUGAGAGUGAGUACUUUCCGGCCCCCAGAAGGCCAGAAAGGAAUGGCUAGUCCAAUGAGCCUCAUAGGGCAUGUAUUAACGCACCGCAAAACCCAAACCAAUGGGGGGGAAACAACAUACCAACAUCCAAACAACCUCACCCAUAUUGGACCAAAAAGUCGGUGGUCUCCCACCGGCUGCCAUCGACAUAGUAAGAGAGGAAAUAGCUGGGGCGUUCCGAGAUAAGCUCGAAGUUGGCAUAAUCCCUAGGGGCGGUCAUAUUGGAAACCUUAUGGUAGCCAUUUUGACCGUCUCCCAUACCCACAUGGGACCAGAAUACCCGAAUUCACAAAGUUUUCGGGUGACCAAGGAAAGAGCACGUGUGAGCACAUAGACCAGUUCUUAGCACAAUUAGGAGAAUUGACCGACGCCAAAGCAUUCCGUGUGCAUUUAUUUUCAUUAUCUUUAACAGGGACUGCAUUCGCAUGGUAUGCCACGCUCCCUCCUAAUUCCAUUUUGUCAUGGAGAGACUUAGAACAAAAAUUUCAUGAAUAUUUCUUCUCUGGCGAUUACGAGCUAGAUUUAGUAGACUUAGUGGCCCUAUGACAAGAAAAGGAUGAAUCGGUUAAUGAUUACAUUCGAAGAUUCUAGGAUACGAGAAACCGAUGUUUUCAAAUUCAUUUAGCAGAUAAACAGCUAGCGGGAAUAGCCUUUGAUGGAUUGCGAUAUUAUUUAAAAGAAAAAUUGGAAGGCAUCCAGUUCUUUACGCUAGCACAAUUGCAUCAGAGAGCUUUGGCUUGUGAAAGCCGAAGCAAAGAACUAGUCAAAACAGUUCGUCACAAUGUCCAUAUAAUAGAAUGUGAUCAAAGUAGUCCGGACGACGAAUCAAAGGAAGUUUACGCUGCAGAAAUGGUUUGGCCCAAGUAAGCCAAAUCCUCGGCUUGUUCCUCCUUGCAGCCGGUUCAAAAGAAACGGCAAGAGCAGGUUAAGUUUACAUUCAAUGUUGGCAAAUGCGAUAAGAUAUUCGACGAAUUACUAAAAAAUGGCAACAUUAAGAUAGAUUAUACUGUUCCACCCGCCGAUGAACUAAGACAUCGCGCAUAUUGCAAGUGGCACAACUCAUUUUCACAUGCCACUAAUGACUGUAAUGUGUUUCGACGACAAAUCCAAUCGGCCAUUAAUGAGGGACGAUUGAAAUUUCAGGAGGACACAGAGCCCUUCCCAAUGAAUGUGAUCGACUUCGAGGGCAAAAAAGUCCUAAUUCGACCCGGCACGAUCGAUAAGGGCGAAGGCAAGGAAGUUAUCAUCGGCAACACACGAAAGGCCAAUGAAAAUAAUAAAAUUUCUUACAGGAAGGUGGUUGCCGAGAAGACUCCUGAUGGAGGAGAGACUCUGAAGGUUACCAUCACAAGCGCUGGGGGGGCAAUCGCAAACAGGUGGUCGAACGCGGGAACCUGUUUUACGCAUCAUAGAUGGUCCGGUACACAGACGCGGACGGUCCGGGACCUUGCCCGACAGUGCAGGUCAUUCCAGUAGACGGUCCAACAACGCUAAGGAGCCACGGUGACCACAUACCUUCAAACCACAACGACCAGAAAUAGGUACGUGGAAAACUAACACGUUCAAGGCAGCUGGUCAGUUGGUCAAAUCUAGCCCAACCUUUGAUCAAUUAUUGUCUAAAUAUGUGAAAAAGAAGGUCGGCCCAGUAACCGGCCACCAAACCGACCUCGCAUACCCACCCAGGAGCGACAGCAGGUUAGGCCGAUUGGACCACCUUAUCAAUCGGAAAGGACGGGAGGUCAUAAUGUUCAAUUAAGACCUAACGCACCUGCAUGGACACCGCCACCUCCACAUACACCCAUGUCAUGUCAUUUUACAUACACACUACCGCCACUAUAUAUCCCGAAUCAGAUGUGGGGUGCACCACCAUAUCCAUUCGGGAUACCACAAUACCCCGCCUGGGGGGCACCUCAAUCAUCUGUUUUUGAUAGGUUGACGCCUCCAAUACAAGACCGAUUGAGAGCCCCUCAAUCUGGUCCAUAAGCACAGGCCCAGCAAGAUUGCCGGACAACUCGGCCUCAAGGGCUGACUAAUCCGGCAGGGGCAUAUAGUUACAGCCUCCAAUAGUAUAAUAAAAGGGGAUGUUAUUAAAAUAGGAACAAUAGAUGUCGUCGUACGACAAAAUAACGAAGGGCAGAUGAUUUUUGGUGAAUCAGCCAAAACAAACAAAAAAGAAGAUACGAUUGUCAACAAAUAGCCGAUCCAAAAUACACCAUGCCCCGAUGGUGCCCAUCGGGAUUGACACGAUCGCAAAAGCGAAAAUUACAGCACCUCAGAGCAAAGGAAAAUCAGGAAAAGGAGGCGGGAAAAUAUUCAAUGACACACAUCCGCAGUACCCACCACUACAAAAAAGAUGGAGACCAAAGGCCAUUGAGGAAAAGCAAACAGCCACAAAGACAGAAAAUAAAACAACAACUAUGCAGUUCUCUGCAGGUAUAGCAGACAGUCCGGCUAGAAACGCCGGACCAUCCGUACAGGGCACGGACCGUCCAAUCUCUAAGGUCGGACCGUCCGCACUACACCAGGACACCUCCAACGAUGUACGACACCCAUGGAGGAAGACGACCUGCAAGGAGAAGACCUGGUCGACUACGAAGCUACACCAGAACACUCAAAAAAUUAGGAAAGCGAGAUGACGAAUUGGUCAGGACCAGUACGACGCUCGGCGAUGUUGGGACUAACAGUUCGAUCAAAGCUAAAGAGGUCACGUCCGUUGGGUUAACCAUUGUGACCAAGACCCUUGCGUACCAUCCUAGUAGGUGGCAAGAUGCCUAAGAAAGCUGAUGUGAUCACAUCAGGUUAGUUGCUUUUGGUUUGCCCAGCUCCUCGAAAAGGAAGGGGGCAUAUGUUGAGCACCAUUUUGAGCCAUCAGACGGUCCGCCCCUGGGACCGGAUGGUCCACGGUCCGGACGAUCCGCGCCUGUGGUCCGGACGGUCCGCGCGCGCAGAGCCAGUUAGGGUUCCGAGUUUCUUGCUAUAGUUGUUGGCUAGAUUCGCAGAAUUAGCUCGGAAAAUCUAUUUGUAACGGGUCCAGCCCCCCUCCUCUAUAAAUACAGAGGAUUACGACCGAUUAAGCAUCAACAAUCGAAUCAAUAAUCAAUUUAUCUCGUAUUUAUUUCUUAUACAUUUAGGAGUAGUUCUAGUCUAGUUCUAGUUUAGCCUUCUAAUCCUCAAAUUCUCCGCUUCUCUUCGACUCUACGUUGAUUAGAGGAGUCUAGGUCGGCCUACCGAGCCUAGACAACACCUAGGAUCUCUCCUCCCCGACGGGGUCCCUCCCAGGAGCGAGAUCCAAGCGCUGCCGGCGACCUUCACCGCCCCUGCGCAUGCGCGGACCGUCCGUGUCACACCCGGUUUUAGAAGGCAAACCGAAUGCGAACCAUGUACGUGCCAGGAUCAGCAAUUCACGUACACAGCAAUUACAUAACUGAAUAUCAUCACACAGUGCUCAAAUAAUAACAUAAAAGAGUAAUAAUAGUCGAUUACAUCAUAAUGUCUGAGACAUCCACAUAGUCUUUAACAAUAAUCAAAGUGCGAAAACAAAACGUAGAUACACGCGGCCUUCACAGGCAGCCGACUGGGGGUUGCCGCUAACCCACGCCUAGAACUCGUCGUAAUCUUGGAACUCCUGGAAGUCUUCCUCCACGGCUUCAUCUUCUCCUGAGUAGUGGUUGCAACGUGGACAACCUGGGGAAGGGGGGGUUUGGUGUGUAGAGCAAGGGUGAGUACACAUCAACAUACUCAGCAAAUGUCUUGUUUGGCUGUAGUGGACUAGCUUUAUGUGGGGGUAAGUCAAGCAGUUGCUUUUAGUUGGUCAGAUUAUUAUUACUAGUAGAGAGAGCUAGAUUUUAGUAUUAACCCAAGUUGUUAACCCAAAAGUACCCUUUCCAAACGGAAAGAAUACCACUUACCAUUACCAUAGUCAAUACCAAAACCACCAUUCUCAUCGCCACUUGUAAUCCGAAUAUCUCUGAUCAAGUAUCACUAAUCAAUGGAGCUCCCUUGGCCGCUCAUAACCGCGAGCACGACUGAUAUAUCAGUUUUCAUAACACUCUGCAGAGGUUGCGCACUUUACCCACAAGUCGUGAUUCCCUUUCUACCCAGAGAUCAUGACUCUCCAUUGAUCACUACCAAGGUGACCCAACAGGGUAUCACUACGUAGCCUUUACAAAGAUUCCCCGGGGCUGUAGCCGCCCGUUAGGUUUCCUAAAUGCACCGCACUCCUCCCCAAGGGGCGAACCAACCUUGGUAGAGCGAGCCGCAUACACCGAGCCCCAUUAAUGGCACGACGGCAAAGCGAGCUACACCCCGGUUCAUCUAAUUAUUCAGCUAAGGGUGUCCCAUUCCACCCUCAUGGUUGCACUGUUUUCCCGGGCGGUCAUCCAACGAACAGGUCCUUACGGAGAGGCACUCGAGAAACCGCUCGAGUCCCCUUAAAUGCCACAAGUAUAUCAUCAUAAUAAAGAAGGGAAACAACGUAUCAUUGAUAAACCUCAUCAUGUUCAUUGAUUAAUGUGAAGCACUAGCAUGAAGCUAAACCAGAAUAAAUCAACCCAAAUAGGUAAGCAAGGACAUGGAUAACAAAAGCUAGUCAAUCCUUAGGUAUAAAUUGUGUAAAUGCGGAAAGUGAAUUAAGGAAUGUAUAGGACAUAAGUGGGUCAAGGGACACUUGCCUCCACCAACCAGCUACUGCUCAGGGUCUUCUCCUGCGAGUUCUUCGGACUCCUCAACCAGACCGUUAUCUAUGCGAGCGCAAACAUACAUCUAUCUCUUUGAAUUAGGAAAUAAACAGUACACCAUACAAGAGAGCAGAUAAAUCGAAUAUGCAUAAGAUAUGACAUACGAUUUGCAUUUGCAAUUGCUAGAAAGAGAAAAAGAAAGGUCUCGCAGUGGUUAAAGCUAUAGUCGAAGCGUAUUACGUGUAUGUGUGUAAUUAAUCAUUACUUCAUCUAGCUCUACUUAGCCAUACUAACAGGUAUUAAUCACAUGCACUAAUAGAGUUACAACUAUUUCCAAUUGGUCGACAUCAAACAAAGUCAAUGAUUAACUACGUGAGAUAAUUAACGUGAUCAAUUUUAAGUAGUGGGGCAACUACAUAAAAUAAACGACACGUUCCAUGCGCAUAGAAUACACGGGGCAGGGGUAGACGGGUGUCUAGUGGUAGACGGGCAUGUCUAGGGGUAGACAGGUAUGCCAUAAGCGUGGCGGGGCGCUACGUGUCGCGCUGGAAGCACGGCGAACCGCGCCAAGACUCCACGCGCACCAUGCGAGCACUAGCGCGCGCGAGGCCGCACUGACGCGCCGCGAACGAGCCGCGCCAGGGCCGAGCCGCGCGCACGUCGCGCUGCGCGCCGCGAGCAAGCAGCGGGGCCGCGCCGGGGCUGAACUCGCUGCACGAGCGGCGGGGACGCGCCGGGGGCCGACCACACCACGCAGGCCGUGGGGCCGCGCUGGGGGCCGACUGCGCCGCGCCGGGUCCGAGCAGCCAUGGCUGGGCCGCGAGCUGGGUGGGGCAGGGGGCCAUGGCCGCGCCUGGGGGCCGCUGCACCGGGGAGAGGUCGGGGCGGCUGCACCGGGCAGGGAGGGGCCAGGACCGGGGCACCACGGCCAUGCCGGGCGAGCGCGCCGAAGACGCGCCGCGAGCACGCCGGGGUGGGGCACGCCAUGGCCGGGUGGGGAAGCACGAGGGGAAGCCGCGUCGGGUCGGGCGGGCGCCAUGGCCGGGCCGCGCGCACCGGGGCGAGCUGACGCGCGGGGAGGGGCGGGGCUGGGCGGGCCGCACAGCGGGCAGGGGCAAUGCUGGGCCGCCACGCCGAGCCGGGCAGGGGCCACGCUGGGGCCGCGCCGAACGGGCGCACCGGGGGUCGCGCUAGGCGAGCACGCCGGGGCCGCACCGGGCGAGCGCGCCGGGGGCCGCCGGGGCGGGGCUGCGUCGGGGCGGGCGCGCCGCGCCGAACGGGCGCCGUGGCCGAGGAAGAAGGGAAGAAGAGGGGGGCGAGGGAGAGGAGGGAGAAGGGACUCACCACGAGGGGGCGAGGGUGGCACCGGGGUCGGCGGUUCCGAGCGGCGUGCGCGGUGGAGGAGGGAGACGAGCUGCGCGAGGGAGAGAGAGACAUGCGCGGGAGUAGAGGAGAGAGAGAGGGAGGUAGUUGGGGGGCUGACGGGUGGGCUCCACCAGGGGGUGGUGGCGGCGACGCAUAACCGCCCACGCGCGCGGCGCGCGGGGGACGUGGGGGAGCCGGCCGGGCCGCCGGGCGAACUGGGCCAGGGGGGCGAGCUGGGCCACGCGCGCCGGUUGGGACGCGGGGCGGGCGAGCUGAGCCGCGCGUUGGCUGGGCAGCGAGGGGGGUGAGGGGAGCCGUGCGCCGGCUAGGCCGCGACGGAGAGACGGCCCAAGAGAAGGAGGGGGGCCCUUCUGGGCUAAGGGUGGAGGGGGCGCGGCUAGGUGGGCCGCCAGAAGAAAAAGGGGAGAGAAAGGGCUUGGGGGUUUCUAUUUUCCCUUUUUUGCUCUAUUUCCUCACCUAGAUGCAUAUUUCACCAAUUCACUCAACCACAAACAAAAAGAUGCAUGAUCCGACAUGAUACCACAACCAAAAGAAUUAACCCUAGGGUUUUACUUACACAAGAUGUUGAGCUAAAUCUCGCUAUAACUUUGGAAAAGAACAAGGCAUAGCGAGAAGAAAAAGAAAGAGGAAAGGGUAAUGCCUGACUUUGGCGAGUGAUGGAGAAAGAAAAAAUUUAACUCUCAAAUUCGGGGCGUUACAAACCUAUCCCCCUUAAAAGAAUCUCGCCCUCGAGAUUCAAGGUUGGCUAGCAAAGAGCUCAGGAUAUUUAGCCAUCAGAUCAUCUUCACGCUCCCAAGUUGCUUCUUCUUCGGAGUGAUGGCCCCAUCUGACUUUGCACAUUCUGAUAGUUUUCCUUCGGGUGACUCUGUCUGCAGUCUCAAUAAUUUGCGUUGGCUUCUCAAUAUAGGUUAAAUCUUCUUGGACUUCGAGACCCUCCAUUGGCAGCUGCUCUUCUGGCACACGCAGACAUUUCUUUAACUGAGACACAUGAAAGACAUCAUGCAUGACAGACAAAUUUUCUAGCAGGCUGAGCUGAUAGGCCACUUCUCCACGCCUUGCGAGAAUUUGAUACGAACCAAUAUAGCGGGGUGCUAGCUUGCCUUUGACUCCGAAUCUUCUGACUCCUCUGAUAGGCGAUACUUUCAAAUAGACAAAAUCUCCAACUUCGAAACUCAGCUCUCUUCUUCUUGUGUCUGCAUAACUUCGCUGUCUUGAUUGCACUAUCUUCAGGUUCUCUCGAACCAUUUUAAUGUUCUCUUCAGCUUCAAGCAAAAUGUCUGGCCCAAACACUUGCUUUUCUCUAGGCUGAUCCCAUUGCAACCGAGUUCUACAACUCCUUCCAUAAAGCGCCUGAAAUGGUGACAUCUUCAAGUUGGCCUGGUAGUGUUGUUAUAGGAGAACUCUGCAUAAGGUAACCUCUUGUCCCAUUCGGACUGAUCUUGCAACGCACAAGCUCUCAACAUGUCUUCGAGGAUUUGAUUAGUUCUUUCGGUCUGACCAUCUGUUUGUGGAUGACAAGAUGAACUGAAAUUCAGAUGGGUACCCAAGGCUUCAUGCAACUGCUGCCAGAAAUGAGAGGUGAACUGCGUUCCUCUGUCUGACACUAUCUUCUUUGGCACACCAUGAAGACAAACGAUCCGGGACAUGUACAACUCUACCAAUACUGCAUUGCUGUAGUUGGUCUUGACAGGUAUGAAGUGGGCUAACUUGGUUAAGCGGUCCACUACUACCCAAAUGGAAUCGUAGCCGGCUCGAGUGCGAGGCAAUCCGACUAUGAAAUCCAUACCGAUUUCAUCCCAUUUCCACUGGGGAAUUCGCAACGGUUGCAACAACCAGCUAGUCUCUGAUGCUCUGCCUUGAUCCAUUGACAACUAUCACACAUAGCCACGUGCUCUGCGAUUUCCCUCUUCAUUCUGUACCACCAGAACUUCUUCUUUAGAUCCUGAUACAUCUUCUCACUUCCAGGGUGUAUAGAAUAAGCUGUCUCAUGAGCUUCCUUGAGGAUUAAUUCCCGAAUGGACUGGACAUUGGGAACACACAAGCGAUCUUUGAACCAUAUCACACCUUCUGCAUCUUCCCGAAAGUCUUUACCUCUGCCUUGAAGAAGCAGUUGCCGGAUUUCAAUGAUCUUCUCAUCAUUCUUCUAUGCUUCUUUGAUUUCUCACUCCAAGGUGGGUUCUAACUCAAUUGUUACUCCUCGCAUAUUAUUCAGAAAUUCGAGGCUCAACCUAUCGAACUCUUUGGCCAACUCAUAAGACAUCAGACAAGCGACCAUUAUAUUGACUUGACUCUUCCUGCUCAAAGCAUCUGCCACUAUGUUUGCUUUGCCUAGAUGAUAAUGAAUCUCCAAUUCAUAGUCUUUGAUCAACUCUAACUGUCUUCGUUGCCUCAUAUUCAGCUCUAACUGAGUGAAUAUGUACUUCAGACUCUUGUGGUCUAUGUAAACAUCACAUUUCUGCCCAUACAGAUAGUUCCUCCAUGUCUUCAGUGCAUGAACCACUGCUGCCAACUCUAAGUCAUGUAUUGGGUAAUUCUUCUCAUGAACCUUCAGCUGUCAGGACGAGUAAGCCACAACUCUUCCCUCUUGCAUCAACACACAUCCCAAACCAGUGUAACAAGCAUCGCAAUACACCGAGAAGGGCUUGUGCACAUCAAGCAAGACUAAGACAGGCGCUGUAGUCAACUUAUCUUUCAGUGUUUCGAAGGCCUCUUGGCAUUUCUGGAUCCACUUGAACUCAACUUUGUUGCUAGCAAAGUUGUCAUUGGUUUCGCAAUCUUCGAAAACCAUUCAAUGAAUCACCGAUAAUAUCCGGUUAUUCCAAUGAAGCUCUUGAUUGCUCGAGCAUCUGUUGGUGCUUUCCAAUUCAGAAUGUCUGCCACUUUCUUUGGAUCCACAUCCAAUCCUUCUUUGUUGAUUGUGUGACCCAAGAACAGGACUUCAUCUAUCCAGAACUCGCACUUGCUCAACUUUGCAUACAGUUGGUGCUCUCGCAAUCUCUACAAUACCAUCCUCAAAUGAUCCGCGUGCUCUUCUUCGCUUUGAGAAUAUAUAAGAAUGUCAUCAAUAAAUACCACCACAACCUUGUCAAGAUAAUCCAUAAAUACACUGUUCAUCAGAUGAAUGAAGAAGGCUGGUGCAUUCGUUAGACCAAAAGACAUCACGGUGAACUCAUACAACCCAUACUUGGUAAUGAAUGCCGUCUUCGGAAUGUCUGAGGGUCAGAUCCUAAGCUGGUGAUAAUAACCUGACCUCAGAUCUAUCUUUGAAAACACGCUGGCUCCUCUAAGCUGGUCGAACAGAUCUUGUAUUUUGGGCAAGGGGUACUUGUUCUUGAUCGUGACCUCAUUCAGGGCUCGAUAAUCGAUACACAUCCUUUUGGUGCCAUCUUUCUUCUCCACGAAUAGGACAGGGGCGGCCCAAGGCGAGGUGCUUGGCCGGAUGUAACCUUUCUCUGGCAGCUCAUCGAUCUGCUUCUUGAGCUCAACUAACUCUGGUCCGGAUACUCUGUAAGUUCUCUUAAAGAUGGGGGCGUGUAAGGCCCAAAAUUUGUACAAAAAAAUAUAAUAAUAAUAAAACAAAUAUAUAUUCAUUGCUUCGUAACUGAUUUUGAGUAUGUAUUAAAAAUUUGAAUUCUUAAAACUUUAUCUUAGAUUUGAAAUUGUAAUUUGUAAAUAAAAAAUGUAAAUAGUGAAAAUAGAGAAGAGCUCAAGAUUUUGCGAUCUAUACUUAUCAUCACAUGUGAACACCUCAUUUAAAAAUAAUAAAUAAAAAGACAUAUCACUAAAUUGUGUGUUGGCUUUUAAUUGUUUGUGCACUUAAUAGUAGUCACAACAAUAUGAAUAAAAUAAUAAACAAAUUAGAAAAAUAAAGACUAACUUGAAUGUUUAAAAAUGAGAAAUAAAUAGUGAAUAUUCAUUUUUAAACAUGCACUUAAACAAUAAUAUAUGAAUAAUGUAUAUGGUGGAAAUCCCAAUCAUUUAAUUCCCUAUUAUCGCAUAUUAUUGGUUUAAGUAGAGUAGUGACUAUGAACAAUUCUUAUUUUUGUCUUAAUAACAUAAUAUUAUAGUUUGCAUCAUGUUGGAUUUUUACUUCUGCAUUUAAUAUAAAGUUUGAAACUCAAACUCAGAUUGAGAUUUGAAGUUAAAACUUGGAGAAAGAGAAGAAAUGAUAAUAAAUUCAUUAUUUCUCCCAUAAUUGAAUAAUACGAAGAAAGACAAUUAAAAAUAUUGCAAAUAGUAGCAUUUGUAAUAUUAGUGGUAUUUUGGAUAUGGGAAAUAUGAAAUGCAAAUCAGAAAUCUGAAAUUAGCUUGAAGUUUUUGAAUUUAAAUAGAAAGAGAAGAAAUGAAAUAGAAAAGAAAAUAUAAAUAUCCUGCGCUUGGGCCGGAUUCGCCCCAUCUCGGCCCAAGUCGUGUUGCCAUCGCGUGGCCCACUCUGCUAUCAGUCUUGCGCGGGUUCCUGACUCACUGACUGUGUGGGCCCAAUGGACAGCUCCUGCGUGCUCUCCUGUGCCACGCGCAGACUCACGUCUCUCUUUUUGUGGGCCCCUUCCGUCAGCGCUUUCUUCUCCCUCUUAGCAAGCUCGCGCGUAACGGAAUCGAGCUACCGCCGCUAAUGUCGGGCUCAUGAGAAACCUCUCGCUUGUCCUAGACCCGGUCUUCUGGGGAUAAGACCCUGGGGCACUUCUCCUUGAACUCCAAGUCCCAACCACCGCCUACUCUUCCCCUCUGCUCUGCUCUACCUCGCUGGCGGCGGCGUGCAGAUCGCUGUCCUCGCCCGCACUGAUUCGCCCCUGCCCCCUCUCCUCGUCACCUGUAGCGGACCUCAUGGGCGUGCUAUCGAAGCUCCUAUGCAUGCCAUCCUCUUCCGCUAGAACGCGCGCGCCCCUCCUGUAUUCAGUGCUUGGCCAUCGGGACCGCGGGUCACCAUCGUCCGACGUCUGCUGCAUCGUUGUGUGGACAUACGAUCGUUUGUGGUCUUCGCAAGUUCACCUGGAUGGUCCUCGUCGACAUCCCGUGCAAGAUCGAUGGCUGGGUUGGCCGGAAUUGCUCGCCGUGGUAGGAGCUCCGCUGCGGAUCUGCACCGCGCCGUGGUCGGGCAUCUUCACGUCGCUAACUCCGGCGAGUCUCGGUUGCUCAUAUUCGCCAUCAUCUUCUAUACGUGUAGCUCUGUCCAAUCGGAGUUUGGGGGACUGUGGCACACGACCGCAGUUGGCGGCGAUGGCUCCGCCGUUGGGGCAGAGCGCCGCCGCGUUUGACCACGUUGGAAGGGGAGUAACGCGGAUCGUUUGAUUCAAAAGAUGCGGCUGAGAUUUAUUCUGGGGAGGUACCCUUUAGCACCUUUAAUCUAAACCGAUUGGUCUCAAUUCGACGCGUAGGAUUAGAUCCAGGUAUCGUUUCGGCCAGGGCUUCUCGCUGACGUUGAUCUUCGACCGGAGAAAUCCAAGCCGUUCCCUAACCAUUAAAAUCUGGGGCCUUGAUCGCUGAUCUGGCGGUCUAGAUCGCGUACACCUUCGUCGUUAUAUCGAGGCCGUCUGAUGGGGGAUCGGACGACUCUGAUCCUACCAUACCCCUUCGUCGUGGAAGUUUUGCUUAAGAGUCCCUGCUCUUUUUAUGAAUCAACCCGCAGUCCUGGCGCUAGUAGUUCUGAGUCUUAGGAUUUCUUAUGUGUCAGCCCCUGAGUUUUUUAAAAAUUGAGGCCCAGUCCAGGAGAUUAAGAAAUCCAAGAAAAGAGAAUAGAAAUCUAUUUUUAGUAUAAAAAUAAUGGCUAGAAUUUGUUUAAUCCAUAGAAAAUUCAUACUAAUUCCAAAUUGAGUCAUUUCAGUUCCUAUAAUUUUGUAAUAUUAUGAUUUAUCAUCUAAUGUCUCUGUUUUGACAUGAAAGCCACUUUAGAAUCUAUUUCCUAAUUAAUCUUAUAUCAACUACAUAAAACCUUAGGAAAUUCGUAACUGCUCCGUUUUAACUCCAAAUUGAUCCGUUCAAGUUGCGUUAUUCUCGUAUAAAUAUUUACUAUGCAAUAACAACAUUUAUUGUGCCAUGUCACAUUCUUUUAUAAUUAGAUCUUUAUUUAACGUGUGUUGGUUAGUCUUGUUAAAUUGCUUACCAUUAUAACCUACUAGAAUAAGAUAUGUGGCCAAUUUAUAACUUAGAUUAAGUUGAGAUAACUAUUUAUAGAAUAAUCUCUUAUAUGAUUUAUAUUAACUAAUUUAUAAUAUAGAUUAAUAUUUUAAUCACACAGAUCUUCUAUAAAAUCAUACCUCCUUAACCAUAACUCCGAUCUUAGUAGUUCUCGAACCCGCGAUCUCGUAGCAACGUGUAGAUUAUUAUUAUUCAGUUUGUACUUAUGUUUGGUGUGAUGUUGAUUUUGUCUAUAUCAUGUUUGCUUGUAUUGCUACGACUAGCAGUGCGGUCACGAGGAUCCGAAGAAUCACCCUGGUAACUGAAUCUCAAGUGUCAAGCAAGUUGUGCCCUUGAUCACUUUUGUUACCCAAUAAUAUUCUUUAUUAUCACUAUUCAAUGCAUAGGUUUAAUUUUGAUGGGACCCAAUAGGUCACCCUAGUAUGUUUAUCUUGUUUACCUUGUUUACCCCUGAAUCAUUUGGGUAGAUAUGUUAUUGCUUUAUAUAGUUUUGGGAUAAUAUUUCAUUACAUCCAUGUUCCUAUUAUUCUGUUAUGUUAUUUAUGUUCAUGAUAAGAUCAUUAUGUUAAUGGGAACAUGGAGCGACCACCCGGGAAAACAGUGCUACCACAAGGGUUUAAUGGGACGUCCUUGGCCGAUUAACUAGGAAAGCUAGUGGAUGACUACCUUACCCGAAAGGGGCAAGGGCAGUAGGGGAGUGGUCAGUGUAGGGGGGUCCUUAGGUUGAUUUUGCUGUGAUGGCGGUCAGGCGAGGGAUUCCUACACUGGAGCUUCCUAUAAAUUGUAGCGGGUUUUCUGAAGCUAGUGGAACUUUGUAAAGGCUUCGUAGUGUUACCCUGCCUCGCUUCCUUGGUAGAGGUGUAUGGGAUUCAUGACCCCUUGGCAGAUGGGUAACACGGCUUGUGGGUAAAGAUGCGCAACCUCUGCAGAGUGUAAAACUGGUAUACUAGCCGUGCUCACGGUCAUGAGCAGCUCAGACCCUCACAUGAUUAAUCUAUGGAAUUAAAAUUCAAUUUGUCAUUUGCAUUUGCAUGGGACUAUUUAUUAAUUUUGUUCUAUUAUUUAUUAUGGUUUGGUAUUUACUUAUACUUAGUAAUUGCUAAUAAAAUUUUGACCAACUUAUAAAAGCAAUGCUCGGCUUUAACCCCUACUGUUGAUCAGCUUUACACAUCACAUGAACUCCCACCUUUGGUGAGUUCAUGCCACAUUAUUCCCCACAACUUGUUGAGCGAUGAACAUGUGUGAGCUCACCCUUGCUGUCUCACACCCCCCCAUAGGAGAAGAACAGGUGGUUCAAGUGGAGCCACAUCGAGGAGUUCGAUUCGAUCUAGGUGGCGUCUCCCAGUUGACUUUCUGGCGCCAAGGAUGGAUUUUAGAUCCUGUUAUAUUUAUCUUUUAUUUUGUAAGACUUCCUCUAUGUAAUAAAUACUCUGAUUAUUUUGUGACAUUUAUCUCUAUACACUCUGUUAUUAUAUAUGUUAUCUUCUUUGGCGCAUGUAUGAGAUGCACCCGGCUUUGUCCCUUAAAACCAGGUGUGACAGGGCGGUUCCAGGAAGAAGCUCUAUGGCAAACUCAACUUUUCACUCAGGUGGCAUGCCUGGUAUGUCCUUUGGGAACACAUCUGGGAACUCAGACACAACCUUGAUAAUCUCGGGUGGACCUGCUUCACUGCUAUCAAUAGCUAUCUGAUAGCAACUUCCUUUCUUUGGCUCAGGCGGGACUAACUCGGUCACCACUUCCUCUCCUAGUGGGGACAUCAACUUGAUUGUCCUCUUAUCACAUAUGUAACUGCCUGAUACUUAUCUAGCCAAUUCAUCCCUAGGAUGACAUCUAUUCCCUGAGUACCCAUUACUAUGAGAUUAGCAAGAAACGCUAUCCCCCUUAUUUCCACACUUACAUUCAAGCAAAUGCUAUCGACUCGAAUUGUACCACCGGCUGAGUCAAUAUGAAUGGGUGUUGACAUGGUAGUUAUGGGAAGAUUAUGUGCUUCUACCCAUGAUGCAGUAAUAAAUGAAUGCGUUGCUCCAGUAUCAAAUAACACUUCUGCAAUAUGGGAGUUGAUUGGAAACAUACCUACUAUCAUGUCGGGUGUUUCCUGAACUGCUUCAGCCUCCAAGUGGUUCAGUCUCCCAUGAUUGUAGCAUGGCUGGGAGCGGUUGCCUGCUCUAGGCUGAGACACAUUUUGCUUUGCUAGGGCGCCAAGGCCUGACUGCUGCUGGGCUGCCUUCUUCGGACAUUGCAUCACCCAAUGGCCUUGCUCUCCACAGUGAAAACAUGCUUUGCUUCCGCCUUGAACUGGUGCUGCUUGACUGUUCUGUUGGGUUGCUAGGGCAGGAAGACGAGGUGCCUGCUGAUUCUGCCUCUGAAACUGACCUCCUCCUGACUGAUUAUUCUGGCGAUUCUGCUGCUGGUGCUGAGGGUACUACCUUUGAAACUACUGCUGCUGAGAUGGGUGCUGGUUCUGUCUGAACUACUGAGGUGGAUUGCCCGAGAAACGAGGGCGAUUGCUGCUUCCAGGCUGGGGUCCACUGGCCUUACGCUUGUGAUCCUCCAUCUCUUUGCGCUUCCUCUCUAUCAUGAUUGCUCUAUCGAUCAGGUGCUGAAAUGUGGGGAAGGUAUGAUUCAUCAGCUGAUACUACAGAGGGUCGACCAAGCCUCUCAGGAAACAAUACUGCCUCUUGGCGUCGGUGUUGACAUCUUCAGGAGCAUAGCAAGACAGUUGCAGAAACCUGUCUCGGUACUCACUAACAGACAUUGACCCUUGUUUGAGUGCCAGGAACUCCUCCUUCUUCACUGUCAUCAGACCUGCUGGAACAUGGUACUGACGGAAGCUAUCUCUGAAUUCUUCCCAGGUGAUGGCGUCGGGGUUGGCAUGGGUGGCGAGAUAAGACUCCCACCAAGACUAGGCUGCUCCUCUCAACAGACGGGGACCAUACAGAACUUUCUCCCUAUCAUCACACUGAGCGGUGUGCAACUCCCGCUCCACAGUGCGCAGCCAGUCUUCAACAUCCAUGGGGUCAGAAGAGUGAGCGAACACUAGGGGAUGACCUCUCAUGAAUUCAGCACGCUUGUCCCUGGGUAUCUGAGGCAUCUGAGGCUGAGGUGGUGGCUGUUGUUGUUGUUGCUGCUGAAUGGCAGCUAGAGUCUGACCAAUGGCUUGAACUGCCUGAGUCUGCAUUAGGAACAUCUGCUCGAUGGUCAUCGGGGGUGGGGGUGUCAGCUACUGACGGGGUGCCUCAUCCUGUGGGGCUGCCUGCUCCUAUUGAGCACGCCUUCCUCCUCUGCGCCUGUUUUCUGACAUCUGCAGAAUGCAAUCACAUAUCAGAACUAAUCUUGCAAGCUUGAACCACAAGAAAAGAGUAUAGAAUCCUUCCACAAUACUGAACAGAUGAACAUCUUCACUGACUUCCAACAUAGGCAAACACAUUUUCUUAGAUAAAGAGGAAAGUGGAAUAAAAGGCUUCCCAACUAGAUAACUAACUUCAUUAACAUUUAACAGGUAAACCAAGGUGCAGGGGAUGCCCACACUCUGGUGACAGUCAUUACAAAGAUCCAAAUCCAACAUAGUUCAUCAUGACAAACAUAAAAGCACAGGAUAAGCAAACUACCCUGUCUAACUAAGACUAACUAAAAGUAAGACUGAGACUAAGACUAAUACUAAAACUUCUAUAUUUAAGCAUUUAUUACAGGACUCAACACUGACGAUCUAUGAUUCUAAAUUUAUCUUGGUCCUGCAGUCGGGGUUGCGAUAAGCCUGAUGUCCAUGCCGAGGUGAACGGUACAGGUGCUGAGUCCCGACGGGAGCAGGGGAGCCAUCCUCAGCUCAUCUAAUCCAUGAUCCAGUUCUUUGUUUAGCACGACGGCUAGGUUGACUGUGCUGCUCAACCUAGGAUUGCCCUCACCAACAUGUGAGACAAUUAUGCCUCAUGUGCUGCUAGAUGGACGACAUGGGUAAUACUUCAGGUUGAGACCAUUGGCUACCCCGCCGAGCACUGAGCAGUAGUGCGAAAGCGCACGCCGUGUGGCAUCUUGCAUGGCCGCCUUACCCGAGUCUCGCUCAGAGAUGGAAUACUGCUCUAAGCAGAUCUCCGCUCCCCGGAGACUGUUCUCCGGACGGCGCACCAAGCAGGUCGCCUCCCAGCGGUCCGGGUAAACCCCGUGACUGUGCUGGAAGACCACACAACGAUACUCGAUGGACCAAGUAUGUCGGUCGAGUGCCUGGCGUAGCAGGGUGUCGAACGUGUCGUGGAAGUGACACCCACGAGCAGUGUCACGAGUGAUGGGUCGAGCAACCAAUCCUUCCAGCUCCUGGUCGGCUGAAAGGUCGGUGCUGAAGCUCAGGCUGCUAUUGCCACCUUCGUCGUCUGGGUCUCCUCCAGCAGCUACUCCAGUGGCUGGGGCGCUCAGUGGUGGUGCAGGGGGCGCCUCCAGCGGGAGCACAGGGGAGCAGCUCCUCACAGACUCUAUCUCCUGCUGAAGCGAGAAAGAGGAGCCCUGCUGCUCUAGCUCCUGUUGUCGAUGCUCCUGCUCCUCGUGCAGGCGGUGGUGCAGCCUCUCCAAAUGGCUAGACUGACCAGUCACUGGACGGCGAAGCGGACGCUCAGCGAAACGAGAGGGCAAAAAGGGAAUGACUGACUUCCGUGCAGUGUGUCUAAGACGAGCCAUCUACAAAAGACACCGUAAGCAUAAGAGUGAGAACAGAACUAAUAUGACCAUCAAGUAAACCAUAAAUAAAUGAGGAACGAGAAUAAACAAAAAAUUUUAGCAAGGUGUAAUAUAUAUAGUAGAACAUAAGUUUGGUCGAUAUGACCAACUUUUGAAGGGAUACCAAAGUCAAGGUAAGAAUAGGGGUCUUUAAUCCUUAGAACGACCAAUCUACUCUAGGUUAGCGGUCCUACAGUCAGCACAGCUUUGAUACCACCUAUGUCACACCCGGUUUUAGAAGGCAAACCGAAUGCGAACCAUGUACAUGCCAGGAUCAGCAAUUCACGUACACAGCAAUUACAUAACUGAAUAUCAUCACACAUUGCUCAAAUAAUAACAUAAAAGAGUAAUAAUAGUCGAUUACAUCAUAAUGUCUGAGACAUCCACAUAGUCUUUAACAAUAAUCAAAGUGCAAAAACGAAACGUACAUACACGCGGCCUUCACAGGCAGCCGACUGGGGGUUGCCGCUAACCCACGCCUAGAACUCGUCGUAAUCUUGGAACUCCUGGAAGUCUUCCUCCACGGCUUCAUCUUCUCCUGAGCAGUGAUUGCAACGUGGACAACCUAGGGAAGGGGGGGUUUGGUGUGUAGAGCAAGGGUGAGUACACAUCAACAUACUCAGCAAAUGUCCUGUUUGGCUGUAGUGGACUAGCUUUAUGUGGGGGUAAGUCAAGCAGUUGCUUUUAGUUGGUCAAAUUAUUAUUACUAGUAGAGAGAGCCAGAUUUUAGUAUUAACCCAAGUUGUUAACCCAAAAGUACCCUUUCCAAACUGAAAGAAUACCACUUACCAUUACCAUAGUCAAUACCAAAACCACCAUUCUCAUCGCCACCUGUAAUCCGAACAUCUCUGAUCAAGUAUCACUAAUCAAUGGAGCUCCCUUGGCCACUCAUAACCGCGAGCACGGCUGAUAUAUCAGUUUUCAUAACACUCUUCAGAGGUUGCACACUUUACCCACAAGUCGUGAUUCCCUUUCUGCCCAGAGAUCAUGACUCUCCAUUGAUCACUACCAAGGUGACCCAGCAGGGUAUCACUACGUAGCCAUUACAAAGAUUCCCCGGGGCUGUAGCCGCCCAUUAGGUUUCCUAAAUGCACCGCACUCCUCCCCAAUGGGCGAACCAACCUUGGCAGAGCGAGCCGCAUACACCGAACCCCAUUAAAGCACAACGACGAAGCGAACUACACCCUGGUUCCUCUAAUUAUUCAGCUAAGGGUGUCCCAUUCCACCCUCAUGGUUGCACUGUUUUCCCGGGCGGUCAUCCAACGAACAGGUCCUUACGGAGAGGCACUCGAGAAACCGCUCGAGUCCCCUUAAAUGCCACAAGUAUAUCAUCAUAAUAAAGAAGGGAAACAUCGUAUCAUUGAUAAACCUCAUCAUGUUCAUUGAUUAAUGUGAAGCACUAGCAUGAAGCUAAACCAGAAUAAUCCAACCCAAAUAGGUAAGCAAGGACAUGGAUAACAAAAGCUAGUCAAUCCUUAGGUAUAAACUGUGUAAAUGCAGAAAGUGAAUAAAGGAAUGUAUAGGACAUAGGUAGGUCAAGGGACACUUGCCUCCACCAACCAGCUGUUGCUCAGGGUCUUCUCCUGCGAGUUCUGCGGACUCCUCAACCAGACCGUUAUCUAUGCGAGCGCAAACGUACAUCCGUCUCUUUGAAUUAGGAAAUAAAUAGUACACCAUACAAGAGAGCAGAUAAAUCGAAUAUGCAUAAGAUAUGACAUACGAUUUGCAUUCGCAAUUGCUAGAAAGAGAAAAAGAAAGGUCUCGCAGUGGUUAAAGCUAUAGUUGAAGCGUAUUACGUGUAGGUGUGUAAUUAAUCAUUACUUCAUCUAGCUCUACCUAGCCAUACUAACAUGUAUUAAUCACAUGCACUAAUAGAGUUACAACUAUUUCCAAUUGGUCGACAUUAAACAAAGUCGAUGAUUAACUACGUGAGAUAAUUAACGUGAUCAAUUUUAAGUAGUGGGGCAAGUACAUAAAAUAAACGACACGUUCCAUGUGCAUAGAAUACAUGGGGGGGGGGUAGAUAGGUGUCUAGGGGUAGACGGGUAUCCACAAACGUGGCGGGGCGUUACGUGUCGCGUCGGGAGCACAGCGAACCACGCCAAGACUCCGCGCGCACCAUGCGAGCACUAGCGCGCGCGAGGCCGCACUGACGCGCCGUGAACGAGCCGCACCAGGGCCGAGCCACGUGCACGUCGCGCUACGCGCCGUGAGCAAGCAGCGGGGAUGCGCCGGGGCCGAGCCGCCAUGGCCAGGCCGCGAGCAGGCAGCGGGGCCGCGCCGGGGCCGAACACGCUGCGCGAACGGCGGGGAUGCGCCGGGGCCGACCGCGCCGCGCCGGGGCCAAGCCGCCAUGGCCGGGCCGCGAGCUGGGCGGGGCAGGGGCCACGGCCGCGCCUGGGGGCUGCCACGCCGAGGAGGGGUCAGGGCGGCUGCGCCGGGCAGGGAGGGGCCAGGACCGGGGCGCCAUGGUCACGCCGGGCCAGCGUGUCGGGGCAGGGCUGCCACGGCCGGGGGGGAGCACGAGGGGAAGCCGCACCGGGCGGGCGCCAUGGCUGGGCCGCGCGCACCGGGGCGAGCUGCCGCGCGGAAGGGGCAGGGCUGGGCGGGCCGCGCCGCGGGCAGGGGCAACGCCAGACCGCCACGCCGAGCCGGGCAGGGGGCCACGCCGAACGGGCGCGCCGGGGGCCGACGGGGCGGGGCUGCGUCGGGGUGGGCGCUCCGCCCCGAACGGGCACCGUGGCCGGGGAAGAAGGGAAGAAGAGGGGGGCGAGGGAGAGGAGGGAGAAGGGACUCACCGCGUGGGGGCGAGGGUGGCACCUGGGUCGGCGGUUCCGAGCGGCGGGCGCGGUGGAGGAGGGAGACGAGCUGCGCGAGGGGGAGAGAGAGACGUGUGUGGGGGUAGAGGAGAGAGAGAGAGGGAGGCAGUUUGGGGGGGUGGGGCUGACAGGUGGGCCCCACCAGGGGGUGGCGGCGCAUAACCGCCCUUGCGCGCGGCGCGUGGGGGACGCGGGGGAGCCGGCCGGGCCGCCGGGCGAACUGGGACGGGGGGGGGGGCGAGCUGGGCGACGCGCGCCGGCUACGACGUGGGGCGGGCGAGCUGGGCCACGCGCCGGCUGGGCCGCGGGGGGGCGAGGGGAGCCACGCCGGUUGGGCCGCGGCGGAGAGCCAGCCCAAGAGAAGGGGGGCUCGGCUGGGCUAAGGGGGGAGGGGGCGCGGCUAGGUGGGCCGCCAGAAGAAAAAGGGGAGAGAAAGGGCUUGGGGGUUUCUAUUUUCCCUUUUUUGCUCUAUUUCCUCACCUAGAUGCAUAUUUCACCAAUUCACUCAACCACAAACAAAAAGAUGCAUGAUCCGGCAUUGAUGCCACAACCAAAAGAAUUUGCCCUAGGGUUUUACUUACACAAGAUGUCGAGCUAAAUCUCGCUAUAACUUUGGAAAAGAACAAGGCAUAGCGAGAAGAAAAAUAAUGAGGAAAAGGUAACACCCGAAUUUGGCUAGUGAUGGAGAAAGAAAAAAUUUAACUCUCAAAUUCGGGGCAUUACAGUCCGGCCCGUCAGGCAGGAAACCCUAGCCCUGCGCUAGGUCGCGGACCGUCCGCGCCUGUGCAGAGAGCACCGCCGCCGGUUCUCACGUAGUGAUUGGCGCCCAAAAAGGCACCAACAGGUAGCUCUCGACUAAAGUUAGCUAUGGCCUCCCUAGUAUUUGCGAUUACUUUUAUAGCAAGAGGCAAAGAGAGAGAUGAUAUAAAAUCAUUUGAUAAAAUCUAGUACGUAUGAUUUAGCCAGAUAUCACCGGAGGGGUGAGAGCUCCCCAACCGAAAUAUUUCCCAGUGGUGGCCGUCACAGUCCCCUUUCAUUUAAGCAGGGCAGUGACGCAGUGUCGAGCUCGAGCCUAGAUAGCCUAAGUCCUCCUUUUGGUCGCUGAGCCUUGUCCCAAAGCCCAACUAACCAAGCAUCUAGCGGAAGAGGUUGAGGCUCAUCCUGACCAGAGGUUCUCCAGAGCCGCCACUAUCCCCAAUGGGGGAGCGAUCGCCGCUGCAAGGCCAUCUAGAGCGGUGUUGAGUACCAGCUUGCCGUGGUGACUGAGCAGUGCCGCCUACCAGCCACGGUUUAUAAAACCAUUUCACCCGUGAAACCCGGUAUUUAGACCGUCGGUAAACCGGUGGAAACCGGUAAAAACCGACCGGUUUGACCAAUUCCAAUCAAUUUGAAUUCGAACCAGUUUACCGACGAAAAAACGGUGAAAAACCGCCGGCAAACCACGAAACCGGCCGAUUUUUGCUGUUUUUAUAGAAAAAUGGAAAAUUUUGACAAGGUUUAUUUGUAGUUUGCUCAAUUCACAUUGCACAAUAAAUAUUAAUUGAUCCACAUGAUAUGUGUUCAUCAAAAUAACAUACAUAUGCAACCACAAACUCUAGUUCUCAUGCAAAAAACAACCAGCGAAUUUCACAAUACUCAAAUACAAGUUCUUUUACAACUCUCCAACGAGGCAACGAGACAUAGGUUGAUUUAUUUCACAAUACUCAUAUGUUCAGCUCGAAUCAUAGUGAUAGUACUCAGGCAUAUUGAAAGGGUCGGAUAUUGUUCCAAUCUGUCAUAGUGAUAGUAAUAGGUCUAUGCAAAAGAUAUGAGAUACAUUAGCGAGAAAAUAAGAACGAUAAAUAAAUACUUAUCCACAAAGCAAAAAAACAUACCGGUAUGUGUGUUUGAUGUUUGUGUAUUUUAGGUGUACCUCACCAAGUGUUGGACUUUUCUCCUGAUAAGCAAAUCUUAGGAACACAUACAGAAGAACUGGAGCUAAGAGUUCUAGAUUGGGUCUUGUCCAGACGGAUAGUUAUUAGAAGAACUGAAGCUACUUGAUCUACGGAUUCUAUCUUGGAUAGGAAAUGAAACCGAAAUUGACCACUAAAUGCCUAAACUGGAUCUGAGCUACGAGUUUCAUCUUUAUAUAUAGCAUAUAACAUCUUCACAUAUAGCAUAUAACUGUAAACAAGACUAAUAUGUCUAAAUUGACCAUUAAAUACUCAAUCUUGGCAUUAAAACCGGUUUCUCAGAAAAAAUUGACGGAUUACCGGUCUAAAAUAACGAUUUACCUGUCAACAAACGGUUUACAAGUGGUUUUCAGUUUUAUUGUUUUUUUUUCAAUUUUUUUACAUUUAAAACGAAUUUUGAAAAAAAUCAGUGGUUAACCGAAAAUGCACCCCGACAGUUUCGGUAAACCGACCGGUUUACCUCCGGUUUUCAUUGGUUCUGUAAACCAUGCUGCCAGCCAGCCAAAUGUUCGUCCAACCUAGAGAUCAAUCGGAUAAAAGCAGAGACAUUCAAUUUGACGUUGGAUUGGAUAUAUGUGGAAAAGUGGCUUGUUAGCACUACAGGGUGCGCACGAUGUUUUCUCUGUUGAACCGCGACAUGCACGAGAGUAUGGGUACGAGUACGAGUAUAGGUGCCCAAAUGGGGCUCGCCACGACCCGUCACAAGCACGUUAGAACCAACAACAAAUUGGGCUAGUGGCCAUCAGAACCCGACUUGGAUCAUUAUAAAUACUGAAUAAAUAAAAAUUGCAGAUAUAGAUAUACUACCUUUUGUAAAAUAAAAAAAUAUUUAUGCUAGAAACGCACAACGUGGAGAGCGUCACCAUGCUUUUCGCCUUGGCCGACAGGUGCGCCAGGGCUGCUGAGGGCCGAGCGUGGCACUAAGUUCUAAAGGACGGGGCCGCCCAAACGGGUGGCUUAGGAGCCGCUGCCCGGCGUAACGGUAAAAGGAGCCCUAGCUCGCAGCUGUAGCAUCCCAAAAAUUCAAAUCUUAAAAUUUUCUCAAACUCGCUCUAAAUUCAAAAUGAAUUUCAAAUUUCAUUUCAAAAUGUUUAUUUGCGAGUUGAUAUCAACAAAUAAAAUAUAGUGGUCUUUAUUUUCUCCAAAAUCCUCCUCAAAAUAUCCUACAAAUAUUUCCCGAGUAAUCCCCUUUAAGUUCUUUCCAGAAAUACUGCCCAGAUAUUUCCCCAAUGAUCCCCUCAAUUUCUUUCCAGAAAUAUUGCCCAAAUAUUCCACCGAUAUAUCUCCAAGUAUUUUCCUCUUGAGAAAUACCUUUAGAAUCAUUUUUCAAGUCCCUACAAAUAUUUUCUUCAUAACUUUCCUCAUGCUCAUACGUAUACGUACGCCUCCGGUGUCAUACGGUGAGCUCUACAAGCUAAUUACACUUAUACAAGACAAAUACAUGCUAAUCUCCCACUAAUCCUCUCAUCCUCCCACUAAUGCUCUCAUCCCUCCCCCUAAUCCCCCCACCAUGGCUAUAAAUAGAGGGGCAAGGGCCUCCUCUCAUCCCACUCCAAGCCAUUUCAUGGCAACUCUCUCCUCCCACACACACCCACUCCAUGUUCCACACAAGCACACACUAACACAAGGAUCGUCCGAUCGUUCUUCAAUCGUUCGUCCCCUGUUAUUAGUUUGUUCGUUCGUUCAUCCGAUCGUUCGAUCGUUCGUCCGAUCGUUCAUGGUUCGUUCGUCCGUUCGUCCGAUCGUUCGAUCGUUCGUCCGUUCGUUCGUCCAAAUAAUCUUUUUCCUACCGUUAUGCUACCGAAAUUCCGAUCGUUCGUUCGUUCGAUCAUUCGAUUGUUCAUCGUUCGUUCAUAGUUCCUAUUCAUCGUUCGUUCAUAGUCCCUAUUCAUCGUUCUUCCAGAUAAUCUUUGUCCUGCCGUUAUGCUGCCGAAAUUCCGAUCGUUCGUUCGUCCGAUCAUUCGAUCGUUCGUCCGUUCGUUCAUCCAAAUAAUCUUUUUCCUGUCGUUAUGCUGUCGAAAUUCCGAUCGUUCGUUCGUUCGAUCAUUCGAUCGUUCAUCGUUCGUUCAUAGUCCCUAUUCAUCGUUCUUCCAGAUAAUCUUUGUCCUGCCGUUAUGCUGCCGAAAUUCCGAUCGUUCGUUCGUCCGAUCAUUCGAUCGUUCGUUUGUUCGUUCAUAGUUCCUAUUCAUCGUUCAUCGUUCGUUCAUAGUUCCUAUUCAUCGUUCAUCGUUCGUUCAUACGAACUAUUCACCAUCACUAUUCACCAUUACUAUUCACUGACACUAUUCACCAUCGUUACUAUUCAGUGUUACUAUUCAUCAUCGUUAAUACUCAUCGAUGAUAUCUAUGUAACUUUUUUUGUCGUCACUAUUCAUCGUUACUAUUCAUCGAUUAGCCGAUCACCCCAAAUUUCAACUACUCAUACAUCAUGUUGUCCAGUCCACCUAAGACCAGCCAGACCCAUAUUCCAGUCAUACGAACUCCGGUGACUGUGAUUUUCCUUCUAGUGGGAACUUCCCAUCUGGUCACCCAUCCUAGGUUUCUCCAAGUUGAGCAUGCUUAACUUUGAGAUUCCUUCGAACCAGGCUUCCAAACUCCGAUUCCAAUAAUUCUUGUUUCUAAAUUCUUAUCGAAUUAUUUCCUAUCCAACCAUGUAAUCCCUUAAGCAUGGUUCAUAUUCUAGAAAACUCCCAAAAUACUCUUGUCCCAUAUUCUGCCUAUAACUCUCCUGUUCAUACUAAGUCAGACGAUUCAUUCGUCACUAUUCUCACCAACAGUGAACUUCACUGUGCUACACCACAUACACCUAGCUAUAAAUACACCCAGCUACCCUCUCCCUCUCCACACACUCAACACCCUCAACCAAGGCAAACACCCCACCCACUUAGUUACUCUGCUCUGCCGGCUACACGCAUAGUGUCGCUUCGCCUCCAGUCCACCCUCCUGGUAAGCACCUCCGCUCCACCACUAGUAGUAUCUCAACACCACAUGACAUAGAUUCUACUCAAGACUCUACCCAUCCAUAUAUCGCUAUUCUGACCACUAUACUAAAUAUUUGUUGGUAUACUUGCUUGUUUGUAUGUUUGCUUGUUCAUGUUGCAUAGUUAUCGGAGCGUUCGUGCCGUCUCGUGGAGGCCAGAUCUGCAAGUCUACGCCAGGCAAUGGAGCUAGAAGCCAGUUCCGCGAGCUCUCCUUCCCCCUUCGCCGAAUAAGCACGACAAGCUCACUGGAUCCCUUUGAUGCAUAAAUUACCUAUGUUUUUCAACCACAACCCUCAGCCUGUUAUUUUAUGCAUGAUAUGAUUUUGAGACAAGUUAUUAUGGCCACCCAGCCGCUUGCCGCAAUCAAUCCCUGAUAUAUUCGUUACAAAUGAUUUGAGGAAAGAUGUGAGUUUCCAAAAGAAAAUGCUUUUCAAAAUUUGUAUGAUGAAGGUUUUCACCCUUAUCACCUUGUGAGUGGGAUAAUCAGGGACUCCCUGGUUUAGGGGAGGGCCUAAGGUGAUGGCUCAGCUAGUUUAGGCGUGAGCAGAAGGAUUGUCCCCUCUUAUAAGGACCGGUUUGUCAUCUUUCACUGCCUGUACUCCUUAAUACUACAACCACUCGAGACUGUGUGGGCAGUCACUCAAUCUGAACUCGUACGGUCCAACCCCAGGGUUAUGAAGGCUGGGGAGCACCGGGAGGAUAAGGAGGGGGAAUGUUUUGUCCGGUUUGGACAUGGCGGUGGCCUGACUCCUUCCGGUAUAACCAUUAAGGUUAGGACGUGCAAGGAAAGAAAGAGAUUCGGAUUCGGGUCUCACUAGCUAUGAGAUCGCAGAGCCGGACUAGUGGGUAAAGUGUACACCUCUGCGUAGAGUUUGAAAACCUAUUCGAAUAGUCUGUGUCCACAGGAAUGGACGAGUCUGGUGUGGUAUGGCAAUUAGUGUUUUUGUUUUAAAAAAAAGAGGUGCUUUUGAGAAAAGUGGUUUUUAAAAGGUCCGGCGGUUGAGCCGUGAGCUAUGGUGGACGGGAAGUCUGGUAGCUGUUUUUGAAAAUGAAAACCAGUGGGAAACUGCUGAGGUACCUGGAUGGUUUAGUCCAGAGGAUUUUGUUCUAAUAUUGAAAAACUUCCUACUCCUUUUGGAGAGGUUGCGCUUUGCAAAAAUACAAAAUGUUUUUCAAAACAACCCUGCAUAAAAUAUUGUUGUUUCUGCAAAAUAUCCUGAGCUCCGCAUAUUCCAUGCAUUAUAUCUGAUUUCCCCAUACCGUGGGUGAAGGUGGGCUGCUAAGUACGUUUGUACUCACCCUUGCUUAUUUGUUGUUUUUCAGAAAAAGGAGAUCGGGUAAGAGUUACGACUGUUCCCAACCUUGCCUGUGGCUGUUGGACCGCUGAUUUGCUUCGCUGCGUAUAUAGGGCUGCUUCAGCCCCACUCCGAUGAUAUGUCCCGAGUUGUGGACCAACUCUUAAAGUUGUUCGCCACCUUUGUAGGUUUGUCUCGUUUAAGCAGAUUUGGUAUCAUCUGAUGUAUAAAUGUGUUUACUAGCCUCCUGGGACUAGUAAUUGUAUCACAUUUGAGUCCCAGAGGAUUGGGGACGCUUCAGCAGCAUACCUCAUUAUUCACGUGAGGAAGAUGGAGAAGGGCUUCGACGCCUUGAAACUGCAACAUAUUCCUCGCGGCAACUCGGCAACAGGUGAACUCCCCGCGAGGGCAUCUGUCACACCCAGUUUUAGAAGGCAAACCGAAUGCGAACCAUGUGUGUGCCAGGAUCAGAAACUCACAUACACAACGAUUACAUAAUUGGACAUCAUCACAUAUUGUUCAAAAUAAAUAGCGGAAAGGUACUUUAUUACAUCAAGAUGUCUAAGACAUCUACAGAGUCAUUAACAUAACAUUGUCGUUACUAACAUCAUGGUACAGAAAAGCUAACGUAGCAGAUAAGGCCUUCACAGGUAGCUGAAUGGGGUUUUGCCACUAAUAUAACUAGAACUUGUCGUAGUCCUAGAACUCCUCAAUGUCCUCCAUGUUGCCUACAUCUCCUCUUGAGCACUAAAUACAGUAGGGACAACCUGGGGUGGGGUGAUGUUUAAAACAAGGGUGAGUACACAUCAACAUACUCAGCAAAUGUCCCGUUUGGCUAAAGUGAAUUGUCUGUAUGUGGAGUUAAGGUUAAGCAGUUGCUUUUAGUUGGUCAAGUAUUUAUUACUAAUAGUAGAGCCAAAUUUUAGUAAUAAACCCAGUUAUUACCCAAAUGUACUCCCUCCAAGAGAAAAUACCAGAGAUCAUAAUAUAACCAUCAUCAUUAACCAUCAUCAUAAAAAUAUCCAAAGUUCUUCUAAUCAAAGAGGAUCCCAAGGCUGCUCUUAAUCGUGAGCCCGGCUAAUAUACCAGUUUCUAACACUCUACAGAGGUUGCACACUUUACCCACGAGUCAUGAUCCCCUUUCUGCUCGGAGAGUGCUACUCCCCAUUGACCACUACCUAGGUGGCCUGGCAGGGUAUCACUACGUAGCCUUUACAAAGACUCCCCUAGUGCAUAGUUGCUCGUUAGGUUUCACCAGUCGUACAAACACAGUACACCUCCCUAAGGUGGGUGACUAACAAAACCAAAUCGAAUGAACCUCGGCACCCACCCUUAUCAGAGCGAGCACUAUGCCCUGGCCCCCAUUGACGGCCCUCCAGCAAAGCCAACUACACCCCCAGGUUCAUCUAAUUAUUUAGCUAAGGGCGUCUCAUUCCACCCUCAUAGUUGCACUGUUAUCCCGGGUGGUCACUCAACGAACAGGUCCUUACAGAGAGGUACUUAGGAAAUAGCCUGAGUCCCCUAAAGUAUCACAAGAUCAUCAUUGAGAUAACAACAUUGUAUCAUAAAUAUUUACAUCAUGUUCAUUGAUUAAGUUAAAGCAAUAGCAUAAAGCUAACCAUAGUAACCCAAAAAAGGUAACAAGGAUAAAGUAAAUACAGACUAGUCAGUCCUUAGGUUUCAAUAAUGUAAUGUAAGAUGGUAGUAAGUAGGACAUAGUAGGUCAGAUGACACUUGCCUUCACCAGGUUGUUGCUCAUGAAGGUCUUCGACAACACACUCAGGAACCACGGGUUGCUCGUCAUCUAAAUAAAGCGAUCAUGCAUUCAAUACAUUUGGAUAAAGACAAAUGAACAACACACCAAUCAUGUACAAACAAGUGAACACAUCUCAAAAGAAUAGUAUAAACUCAAGAGGUAGUUUAGGUUAUAGGGUGAACUAACACAUUUAGUAGUUUAUUAUUCUCUAAGUGUUGUCUAUCUCCAUGGACUACAUAAUUAGAUUUCACUAAUUUAACAAGACACAAAAUUACACCAGUGGUAGAUUCAUACUUUACAUAUUAUUAGUAUCAAAAGGUUAAACAUCUAAUUACCAUUAGGGUUUCCUUUUUAUUUAUCUUAUUAAGUAAAUAAACUAUUACAUAAACUAACCUAUAGCCUAGGCAUAAAAUUAGGAUGCACAGAAAGUGAAUGAUCAUACUUUAUUUGGACAGAGAAUAAUUCCAUGAACAUUUUGCAAUUCGAAUCACUCAAUUUGGAGUUCAUAUGCAAAAGAUAUGAAAUAAACAAGUUUUGAAGUUUAAAAUACAAAAUUAGGUCCAAUUAUGACGGGCUGGACGACCGGCACGACGGGCGUGGAACUUCGGCAAGGGCAGAGCGCGAGAGAGGGUGAGCUUGCGUGAAAUGAGGCAGUGGAGAGAGAGAGAGGGAGCGAGCGGUGCUCAAAAAGGAGCUGGGGCGCGUGGGCAGGCGACGUGGCCAGGGUUCUCGACGUGCGUGUGCGAUGGUCCACGGCGGUUCUUGGGGAAAGUGGAGCUGAUAGGACGGUCCCACGUCACAAAGAGAGGGAGCAAGCGCGCUGGGGAAACGACUCAUUGCGCUGACAAGGCGGACCCGCGAGGCAGGGAGGGAAUGGGGGCGCGCAGGCGAAUGGCACCGAUAAACUGGCCCCACUAGGCAGAGGGAGGGGGGAAGAGAGAGCACGGGGAAGGAAACCGCCGCUGACAGGUGGAGCCCACCUGUCAGGCGGCGAGGGCGCGCGCGGCCUCGCUGGGCCGGACUGGGCCGGUUGGGCUGAAAUCGUUUUUCCUUUUUCUCUGGAAUUUCUGAUGCCUUUUAUUUUUAUUUUCCCUAUGGUUUUCAAAUCAAAUUCAAACACCAAACCAAAUUCAAAUAAUUUCAAACAUGUGCACCAAACAAAAGAAUAAUUUAGGCUCAACAUGAUGCAACAAUUCAUGACUCACGUAAUUUUGACAAAAUAAAUAAUUAAUCCCUCACUUAAUUAACCUAAUUCUACUCAAAAGGAAAAGAGAGAGAGAGACUAGAUAGAGAGAGAGAGACAAAGGGUAACACCUAAAUUUGGUAGGCAUUUAGAGAAUAAAUUUUAUACCCCUAAAUUCUGGGUGUUACAGCAUCUACUUGGGCAUCCGUGCCUGAGGUCGUCUUCGAAAGACGGCUACUGAGACCUACCGCUCAACCCGCCAAACUGGGUGAAGGGGCUGAGACUAGAACAUCAAAGCUAGCAGUCCCAACGGCGUUCCAUCCAUGGAGCCCGUUAAAGAUUGGGUGUGCUACUAGCUAGGUCCCCGGUGACCUCUUAGCACCACAUCCAAUUGCUCAGGGGGGUCCCAAUGCAUGGAUCUCAGAGAUCCGACACCACCUGAAAGACAACAUUGAAAGUUACCUAGAGGAGGGGUGAAUAUGCGAAAUCUGGACAUUAUAAACUUUAAACACAAACUUCACCUGGAGUUAGCGUUAGAACAGGUAAUAAUGAAAUCAGAGUGUGGAAAAUGGUUCUCCUUGCCACGAAUUGCUCGAUUAAUGUGUGGAUUUACUUUAGGAGCAACUGAAAAGGACAAGCAAGAGAAUUUUAGAGAGAGGGGAGAAGAAGAAUCAAAUCACAAGGUAAUGGUCAACAUAAAUGAACACGACAAUUUGUUUCCUGAGGUUCGGUUCCGAAGAACCUACUCCCCGUUAAGAAUGCCUUGUAGGUCGGGUCUCUUUCAACCCUUUCCCUCUCUCAAAUGACCACUCAGACCGGUUGAGUGCUUCUUCUUAAUCUCGAGGAUCACUUAGACCCCGCAAGGAUAACCACACAAUUAGGUGUCUCUUGCUAGCUUUACACUUGAGAGCUUUGAAGGAUAUGAAGAAAGCACAAUCAAGAAAACCAAGCAACAAGAGCAACAAGAAAAACACAAAAUUACACUCUCUCUAGACUUUCCAACGCACUAAUCACUAAUGACCACUAGUCACAAUUAUGACACUUGGAAGAGUUUGGGAGCAUUAAAUGUGUCUUGGGAUGAAAUGCUUGCUCUUGUAUUGAAUGAGAAUGAAUGGAAUGCUUGGAUGUGUUGAAGGAGGUGGUUGGGGUUGUAUUUAUAGCCACCAACCACUUCCUAGUUGUUGUCCAGUUUCUGCCAACCAUGGACGGUCUGCGCACCUAACACGGACGGUCUGCCCCUACAUAUCAACGGCUUAAAUCGCAACAGUUAGUAGUAACAUCUAUAAGUGCAUUAAAUGUGUCGUUAGAUGUCAGAUAAAUAAGUCAUAGACGGUUCGAUCGUGCAACCCCGGAUGGUCCGUGAGGACGCUAUAAUUCCUUUUUACCGAGCUUCGCACCUUCGGGUUUCUUUGGUUUGCAAUGAGUGGACGGUCCGGGCCUGAGACCGGACGAUCCGCACAUGGUGCCGGACGGUAUCCACUUAUCUGUCAUAACCACUCCCAGAAUGGGUUCAGGGGCCAAUGUCGGUACCCUGAAACUGGGGUACCCUCUCCUACUGUGCCAAAGGUAGAUACACGUGUGGUUACUUUUAACCGCGUGAAAGUCUCCUAGAGGGGGUGAAUAGGCGAAACCUAAAAUUUAUAAAGUUAAACUUGCACUAAGGUCGGGGUUAGCGUUAGAAUUAAAUUCAAGUGAGGAAGAUUGUUUCUCUUGCUAAGAGUUGCUCAAUAGAUGCGAAUGACGAUUGGGAGCAAACACAAAUCAAUAUUAGCAAGGAAACUUUAGAGAGAGGAAAGAGGGAAAACAAAUCAAAUGGAAAUCAACACAAGUGAACGCGGUGAUUUGUUUUACCGAGGUUCGGUUUCAAAGAACCUAGUCCCCGUUGAGAAGGCCACAAAGGCUAGGUCUAUUCCAACCUUUUCCCUCUCUCAAACUGUCACUUAGACCCGAUGAGUCUUCUCCUUAAUCAAUCGGGUCACUAAGACCCCUUAAGGACCACUACACACUUAGGUGUCUCUUGCUAGCUUUGCAAAGCAAUUAGAGAAUAAGAAUGGGAAAAGAGAAGGCAAUCCAAGCGACAAGAGAACACAAAUAAUCCUCUCACAAGUCUAUAUGCACUAGAGUUGAUUUUGGGAGCUUGGAGUGGAUUGAAUGCUUUGAAUGUGUAUUGGAGUGUUUGGCUUAGCUCUUGCAAUGAAAAUGGAGUUCAAAAAACUUGGAUACCAAUGAAUGAGGUGCAGUAGUGGAGGGCAAAGAAAAAAUGUGGUAUGGCUGAAAAAAUGAAAUCUACAAGAAUUGUGAAUCGAACUCAAGCCCUGCUGCUAAAAUCGAGGCAACACAUCCACCACAACGCGUCUUGUUUUGUGUUUAUAGUGGAAGAUAUAAGAGUUUUUAAAAGUAAGGUAUGGUUGAUGCCACACUAAGCCAUAAUGGCUCCUCUGCCAUUGAUGAGGUGGUUGGGGCAUUUAUAGCCUCCAACCACUUCCUAGCUGUUGGCUGUUUUUGCUGGCGAUGGUCACACCAGACAGUCCGGUGGUGCACCAGACAUCUACUAUUCACUGUCCGGUGUGUGCCACGUCAGCAUACCCAUCGGGGUUUGGAGCGAGUUGACCGUUGGAACCCUUGUCCUAUAGCUGCACAGGACAAUCCGGUGCAACACCGGACAUGUCCGGUGACCUCUGGCUUUGCUGCUCUGACUCUGUCGUGCACUGUUCACUUCAUUGUUUGCUUUUGCAGGCGACCAUUGCGCGUAGUGACCAUUGCGCCGCUGGCUCACCGGACAUGUCUAGUGCACACCAAACAGUCCCUUGAAUUAUAGCGGAGCGCACCCAGAGAAUUCCUGAGAGUGGCUGGUUUGCUUUGCGUGCGAGCCUGGUGCACCGGACACUGUCUGGUGCGCCAAUGGCAGCACACUCUCAAGUCCUUUGCCCCAAAUUUGUUUGUGUCCCCAACUGAAUUUCUUUCUUGGUUUGUGUUGAACCUUAUGCACCUGAGAUAAAUGACAUCUAGGCAAACUAGUUAUCCACGUGGUUUGUGAUGGACAUCAACCACCAAAAUCGAUUACGGGGCGUUUGGAUCCCUUCAUUUUAGAGGAAUUGGAAUUCACUCAAUAAAGUAACUUAUUUAGUUUGGAAUUUGACAUUCCACCACUUUCUAGAGUUUAGAUAUAAGCCUAUCUCAAAUUCAUGGGGUGGAGGGUGGGAAAUGAUUUUAUGCAUUACUAGAAUUGGUUUCUAAUCUAUAACUUACAUGACAUUCUUCGUUUCACUCACCUAUAGUAAAAAUGUAGCACAUAAAUAUCUCCGACAUCUUGCUAAUAAUAGUAUACAAAUAUAUUUUGCAUAAAACUGAAUUAGCUUAAUUAAUAUAUGCCUAAAUUACUAUUAUUAGAAUGGAAUUCAAUUCCAGUGAUCCAAACGGGGCGUUAUAGGAAAUGAUUAAGUCCAUUUCCCUUUCACCGCGUACUAAGGAACCGAGCAGCCGGACCCAUGGGACCAUACCCAUAUGAUGAGACCAUUGGCCUCGAGACCCGCUCCCCACUCAGGAAUAGGUCCGGUGCUUCUACAUUGGCUAAUUAACUAGGAAAGCUAGUGGAUGACUACCUUACCCGAUAGGGGCAAGGGCAGUAGGGGAGUGGUCAGUGUAGGGAGGUCCUUGGGUUGAUUUUGCUGCGACGGCGGUCAGGUGAGGGAUCCCUGCACUGGAGCUUCCUAUAAACUGUAGCGGGUUUUCUGAAGCUAGUGGAACUUUGUAAAGGCCUCGUAGUGUUACCCUGCCUCGCCUCCUCAGUAGAGGUGUAUGGGAUUGGUCGUCUUUUGGUAUAUGGGUAACAUGACUUGUGGGUAAAGAUGCGCAACCUCUGUAGAGUGUAAAACUGGUAUACUAGCCGUGCUCACGGUCAUGAGCAGCUCGGACCCUCACAUGAUUAAUCUAUGGAAUUAAAACUCAAUUUGUCAUUUGCAUCACUUUGGGAUUAUUUUAUUAUUACUUUUAUUUAUUAUUACUAUGGUUUGGUAUUUACUUACACUUAGUAAUUGCUAAUAAAAUUUUGGCCAACUUAUAAAAAGCAAUGCUCAGCUUCAACCUUUAUUUUGUUGAUCAGUCUUACACUUCACAUGAACUCCCACCUUUAGUGAGUUCAUGCACAUUAUUCCCCACAACUUGUUGAGCGUAGUGACCAUUGAGCAUUGAUAUAAGAAUGAAUAACUUUCUCAAUGGUUUAUUUUUUCUUUUAUUUAUCUGAAUAUUCAUUCCAUUUAGACCAUUCGCAAGCAAGCACGAAAAAGCUUCUAUUUCUAAACGGAAACGCUCAAUACAUCGAAACUCAUUACCCAUGGGCAAAGCCAGUCGAGAAAAAAGAAAACAAACAUGGUUUAGCGGAUUCGGAAUUGUAACCAAGCAUCCUGGGUAAUGAGUAGUGAUUGUUUGCGUGCACUGUUCACUUCAUUGUUUGCUUUUGCAGGCAACCUUUGCACGUAGUGAUCAUUGCUCUGCUGGCUCACCGGACAUGUCCGAUGCACACCGGACAGUCCCGUGAAUUAUAGCGGAGCGCGCCUAGAGAAUUCCCGAGAGUGGCUGGUUUGCUUGUGCGCGGGUCUGGUGCACCGGACACUGUCCAGUGCGCCAAAGGCAGCACACUCUCAAGUCCUUUGCUCCAAAUUUGUUUGUGUCCCCAACUGAAUUUCUUUCAUGGUUUGUGUUGAACCUUAUGCACCUGAGAUAAAUGACAUCUAGCCAAACUAGUUAGUCCACGUGGUUUGUGAUGGACGUCAACCACCAAAAUCGAUUAUAGGAAAUGAUUAAGUCCAUUUCCCUUUCACCGCGUACUAAGGAACCGAGCAGCCGGACCCAUGGGUCCAUACCCAUAUGACGGGACCAUUGGCCUUGAGACCCGCUCCCCACUCAGGAAUAGGUCCGGUGCUGCUACGUGUCCUAGGGGUGGAAUUGUCCACUGACUACUACUAUAAGUCUGGACCCCCCAGGUGGUUCCUAAGCCUCCACGUAUGAUGUCUAGACCCCCGCAAGCGGGUCCCAGACCGCCACAUGUGCCAUCUGGACUCCUAGCACGGGGCCCUAGGUCUUCAAGCUAGCAUGUGCUCUUGGCCCCCACUCUCCGCUCAGGAAGAGGUCCGAAACUGCCAUGUGGCUCGGCGCGUGACACAAGCCUUCGGUUGAAAGCAAGCUUGCCUGCCUGCAUUUAAUGCAAGCGGCUAAGGCGUGCUUUACUGUGCAUAGAGCAUGGGUAGGCUUUUGUCAGGCUGCACAGGACCGAAUGACUGUUUCACAUGUUACCAAAGCAAAUAGUGUUGUCGGCGUGCCGAGUGCUGACGGACCGCAUAGUAAGCCACGCGUUACCAAGGUAGACCUUUGUGUCUCGACACCACGCGCUUGGGUGGUGCCAUCAUGAGUAGCUGUUGCUAGGGAUGGCAAUCAAGUGGGUAGUAUGCACAUAUAUAGUUCGUGAAUCCAUACCCGCGAGACAAAACUCAACCCAUACCCGUACCCAUAAAUGUUCGUGGGUAUGAAUCUCUACCCAUACCCGUACCCACCGGGUAUCCGCUAUCCGGCGGAUACCCGUUACCCGCCCGCCCACUACGAUUUUAGCAUUCAACAUCAAACAACAAUUUUAUCACAUUUCAAAAACAAUUAUCAUUCCAUCAUCAUCAAAUGACAAUUUCAGCACCAAUCAACAUGUCAUAGAUAAAAGUUGAAAAAAAUAGAAUUUAGGAAAAUAUAUUAAAUCUAGAUGGCCCAUAUGUCAGAUAUCCAUUGGAUAACGGGUAUGGAUACUGGAUAUCCAUACCCACGAAAAAUUUAUCUGCGGAUACAUUGUUAUAUCCAUAAUUGUACCCACAGAUACCAAAUUUCACCAUACCCAUAUCCAAUGGAUAAUUAUCCACGGUUAUUUACCCAUACCCGUACCCAUUGCCAUCCCUAGCUGUUGCCUUAGACAAAGCGCGCAUAGGUCAUUCACAUUAACUCUGUCGCACAUCAGCAUGGUUAGUCCCUACAUACGUCAGCAUAUCAGACUCCACACCAUAACUGACUCGAGCCAGCAGACGGGGCGGGGGCACGUUUGGUCAAAAGAUUCGCACUUUGACAGAAGGGGAAAAUCUCCAUCUGCCAUGUCACUUAAAACUCCCAGGUGUACAUUAGUUAACACUGGUUCGCUGGACCGACCUGUCGGGGCUCAACACCUUUGUACGUGCCCCUCUAGGACUAUAAAAGGGAGCAUGGCCAGUCCCUACAUACGUUAAUAACCGACUCGAGCCAGCAGACGGGGCGAGGACACGUCUGGUCGAAAGAUCCGCACGACAACAGAAGGGGAAGAUCUCUAUCUACCACAACACUUAAGACUACACGGUGUACAUUACUUAACACUAGUUCGUUGGGCCGACCGUCGGGACUCAACACCUUUGUACAUGCUCCCUAGGACUAUAAAAGGGAGGGGACAUGUGAUGCAAAAGGACAUGUACUCUCGAACUCAGACUCAAUCAGUAGUUGUUUUUUUCACUAACAAUUACUGUGCUAAUUGAUAAUUUCUAAAGCUGAGCGAUGAAUGACUGAAAGAGCAUAAUGUUAGUAAUUACUGAACGUUCCACCAGUAAUUACCGAACGUAUCUUCACUACUGAAGUGAUAAAUUACAGAAUGUGUCAUCAAUAAUUGUUAUUUUUGCACUAACAAUUAAUGUGUUCGUUGAUAAUUAAUGAAAUUGAAUGAUGAAUGACUGAAAUAGCACAAAUUACUGAAAGAUGACGUGCCGAGUGGAGCGACGCGCGGGAGUCACGGGUGGGCACACGCAGCUUGUAGUCCGUUAGUGAAUUUUGGACCCAUAAUGAAAGUCGCCUAGAGGAGGGUGAAUAGGCGAAACCUAAAAUUUAUAAACUUAAACUUGCACUAAGGUCGGGGUUAGCGUUAGAAUUAAAUUGGAGUGCGAAAGACAGUUCUCUUUGCUUAGAGUUGCCCAAUCAAUGCGGAUGGUCUUUGGGAGCAAACUCAAAUCAAUAUGAGCAAAGGAACUUGUAGAGAGGGAAAACAAAUCAAGUGAAGAUUGACGAGUGAACAUGGUGAUUUGUUUUACCGAGGUUCGGUUCCAAAGAACCUAGUCCUCGUUGAGGAGGCCACAAAGGCCGGGUCUAUUUCAACCCUUUCCCUCUCUCAAUCGGUCACUCAGACCGGUUGAGUGCUUCUUCUUAAUCUCACGGGUCAGUAAGUCCCCGCAAGUAUCACCACACAAUUAGGUAUCUCUUGCAAACUUUACAAAACACUUAGAGAGUUUAGAGAGAGAGAUGAAGAAAGCACGAUUGCGAAAACCAAGCAACAAGAGCGACAAAUAACACACGGAUCACACUCUCUCAAGUCACUAAUGAUCACUUGUCUAAAUUGUGAAACUUUGAGAGGUUGAAAGCUUUGAGUGUGUCUUGGAGUGGACUGCUAGCUCUUGUAUUGAAUGUGAAGGAGUGGGGUGCUUGGGUUGAGUGAAUGGAGGUGGUUGGGGUUGUAUUUAUAGCCUCCAACCACUUCCUAGCCGUUGCUUCAUUCCUGCCGACCGCAGACGGUCUACGCCCCUGGUUCGGACGGUCCGCCCCUGCACAUCAACGAUUGAAAUCGCAACGGUCAGCAGUAACAACUAUAUCAACGGCUAUAGAGCAUUUAAUGCGUCAUCAGAUGUCAGAUAAAGCAGUCGCGGACGGUCCGGCCGUGCACCCCGGACGGUCCGCGAGGAUGCUAAAAAUGAAUUUUACCGAACCCAUCACCUUCGGGUUUUUCUGGUUUUUUCAACGACCUAACGGUCCGCGCCCCUAGUCCGGACGGUCCACGCCCCUAGUCCGGACGGUCCGCCCCUGCACAUCAACGACUGAAAUCGCAACGGUCGGUAGUAACGGCUAUAGAGCAUUUAAUGCGUCGUCAGAUGUCAGAUAAAGCAGUCGCGGAUGGUCCGGCCGUGCACCCCGGACGGUCCGCGAGGACGCUAAAAAUGAAUUUUACCGAACCUGUCACCUUCGGGUUUUUUCUGGUUUUUUCAACGACCGAACGGUCCGCGCCUGAGGCCGGACAGUCCGUGCUUGGUCUUGGAUGGUGCUUGCUUCUCCAUCGAACGAUACGUAGUGUUGACUUGCGUUUUUUGCAGUGUUCCUGUCCGAGGCUCACCUUGAUGUCGCGGACGGUCCGCCGCAAGGGCCCGGACGGUCCGUGCAUAGGUGUUUUUCUAAAAAGCUUCUCCUGUCCGGAAAGUCGACUUAGAAUAGUUGUAUAUGGACUUAUGCACCUGAGAAAUGAUUAACUAGGCAAACUGUUUAGUCCACAAGGUUUGUGAUGGUCGUCAAACACCAAAAUCGAUUAUAGAAAAUGUUGAGGUUAUUUCCCUUUCACAUAACAAUUUGGCGGGAUGGCUGGUUUGCUUGAUGGGACGUUUGACUAUGUCGGUACCCUGAAACUAGGGUACCCCUUGCUACUGUAUAAAGACGCAGUACCCACGCGGAUAUCUCUUAGUCGCGUAGUAAAGGUGCUGUGUGUGGGACCGAGCCAUGACUCGUCCCAGCCUCGGGCGACUACUCUGGGUCCACAAUAGCGCCUGACCUCACCACAAGGGCGGGUCCGGAGCCGCCAUGUGUCCAGAGAAAGUGAUAUACCACAAAGCCUCAACAGUGAGUCCGGACCCCCAUGGUAGAGUGCCGGACCCCUGGAUAUAAAGUCCAGACCUCCAAGGUUGGUCCAGGACCUCCACGUGUGCAAGUCGGACCACUAGAAUGGGAUCCGGACCCCUCGUAUGAGGUCCGGGCCGCCCACAAUGGGGUCCCAAGGUCCCAGGAUAGAACAUACUCAGGCCUUGAACAGGACUCAGGCGGGGGUCCGGUGCCGACACGUAUCCGGAACUAGUCUGGUGGGUUCCGGACCUGUCUGCAUACACUCCUGCCCCCCGCUCAGGUGGAGACCCAUUGCAGCCACGUGGCAUACUGCGUGCGGCUUAAGCCAACGGGCAGAACCUAGCAUGACGCCUCUGGGCUAUGCGCGCCUCCACAUUCAUUACGGAUAACACGUGCGCCUGUCCAUUCCACUGACAGGUGGCAUGCACAGUCCACGAUACGUGGGCCGUGCUAUUAUUUACCAUUACUCGUACAUUUCGGCUAUCAAUGCUGCAUGGACUAUGGUCAUCAAGACUCCUGGUGAUUGCUCAGGCAUUACUAGCAUUAAUUACUCACAUAAUGUAUUCCUUCUGUUAUGCUCCUGGGCCCGCAUGUCGGGGCUCAGCAUUCUUGUAUGUGCCUUCCCUUAGACAAUAAAAGCGAAGGCACACAACGUUACAAGGACAGGCUCUCAAGCACACAGACAUAAGCUCAUACUCAUACUCAAUAUAGCAUACACACAGUGGAGGUAAGGUAUUACGCUCCGACGGACUGAAACACUCUAAACCCUCAUGUCCUCGUGUGUUCAUCCAUCUUCCAAUAGACAGGCAAAACGCUUAAGCCCCCUCCUCAUCUUAGGAUUAGGGCGGGUGCGUUCCGCCACCCGGGCGGAGGAUUUUCUCUCCGACAUUUGGCGCGCCAGGUAGGGGCUUUGGCAUUAGGUUUUUCCCUGUUUCCUUGCUCGACACGAUGGUUCAAAUCGUCGAGCAUCGUGACUUCGUUCCCAAGGACUUUCCAAUGGAGGAAGAGGUUGCAUCUUCUAUGCCAUGGGGCUCCAACUGCCCUGCACCUGGUGCUGCUGCUGUGUGCGCUCCACAGCAGCACACGCGUGCGCAGACAUCCUGGGCUCUGUCAAGGGCUGCUCCUGGGGCGUUGUCUGCAACCAGGGAGUUGUUAUGCCACCCUCCAAGUUCCACGGCCUCGCCGGGGGCCAUGAAGCAGUGACAUGACGAUGUCGACCGUCUCCUCGGCAUGGCGCAUUCUGGCUCGGCCAGACCCAGGCCUCGGUCAUUUCGGCGUCAACAUGAGGCAUCGGCGUCAGUGCGCUCACCCUCAGUGAAGGCCGCACCGACUGAGGACCUGCGGGCAGGGCUCAACCGUAGGCGUGCGGGUGAGGAUGUUCCAAUCUCUCUAGAGAGGCCUGGUGACCUGUGGGCAGAACUCAACCAUAGGCGUGCGGGCGAGGACGCACGAGUCUCUUUGGAGAGGGCGCGUGAGCGCUGGCUAAACUUCGAGGGUCACAACCUCGACCAGGACUUCGCUCCGCUUGCGCCAUAAACUCCAAGGGGUGCCCGAAUCCACAUGGGUGUCCCAUUGGUCGGCGUGGGCUGUGCCGCGCUAGCGGAUCACCUCCACGCGGCGACUUGGCUGCCCAAGUUCUGGCCGCACCUACCGGAGAAGUAUGACGGUACGUCAAACCCGUCGGAAUUCUUGCAGGUCUACGUCACCGCCAUUACGACAGCCGGUGGAAACACUGUCGUAAUGGCGAGUUACUUCCAUGUAGCCUUGACCGGCCCGGCCCGGAUCUGGCUCAUGAACCUGACCCCGGGAUCCGUCUACUCCUGGGAGGAGCUCUGUGCACGGUUCACAGUGAACUUUGCUAGUGCUUAUCAACAGCAUAGCGUGGAGGCUCAUCUCCAUGCCGUAAGGCAAGAACCCGGGGAGACCCUCCAGGCUUUCAUUGCUCGCUUCACCAAGGUACGAGGGACUAUACCUCGUAUCUCCGAUGCCUCCAUUAUCACUGCUUUCCGACAGGGGGUGCGUGAUGAGAAGAUGUUAGAGAAGCUAGCGACGCAUGACGUGGAAACCGUCACCAUGCUCUUCGCUCUGGCCGACAAAUGUGCUAGAGCUGCCGAGGGUCGUGCAUGGCACUUAGCACCACAGACCGGAGUUACCCAGACGGGUGGCUCGGGAGCCGUCACCCAGGGCAGCAACAACAAGAAGAAGAAAAACCGCGGCCACGAGAGGCCGCAGUCUGCUGCUCCGAUCGUCGCAGCUGCGACUGGGGGCCGGAACGAGCGCGGCAAGCACCCACGACCAUAGGGGGCCAACAGUGGGUCAUGCCCUGUGCAUCCCAACAGUCACCACAGCGCCUCGGAAUGCCGCGAGAUCAUCAAGCUCGCGAAGCGCAUCAGCGAGCGGCGCGAGAAGGCUUCCAAGGAUGGCUCGCCGCCUCGUCGCUGACCUAGCAAGGAGAAGGUCGACGAAGGUGACGCGACCACGGGAGAACGGGACCUCGGGUAUCAGUCACCUGAGGGGGUCCUCAAGGACGUUUUCACUGGAGACUCUGACUCUGGUGACGACAACGACCAUCGCAAGAAGCUGUACGUGAUGUACGGCGGGAGCUAAAAGCUCACCUCUCGCAGGAACGUCAAGUCCCUGCGCCGAGAGGUCCUUUCGGCGGUCCCAAGGGUCCCGAAGGCUGCUCCACAUCAGCGGUGGAGGAGCACCACUAUCUCCUUCGGGGCAUCUGACUACCUCGAAAACAUGGCAGGGGCUGGUAUACUACCGCUCAUCAACGCCCCUGUCAUCGCCAACAUGCGGCUGCGGUGUCUUGUACUCAUCAAGCAUGGUUCUUGCCAUGUCCAAUAGAGUUCGAUUCUUCCUCUCCACUACACCAUUUUGUUGUGGAGUGUAGGGAGAAGAGAACUCAUGCUUGAUGCCCUCCUCCUCAAGGAAGCCUUCUAUUUGUGAGUUCUUGAACUUCGUCCCGUUGUCGCUUCUAAUUUUCUUGAUCCUUAAGCCGAACUCAUUUUGAGCCUAUCUCAAGAAUCCCUUUAAGGUCUCUUGGGUAUGAGAUUUUUCCUGCAAAAAGAACACCCAAGUGAAGCGAGAAUAAUCAUCCACAAUAACUAGACAGUACUUACUCCCGUCGAUGCUUAUGUAAGCGAUCGGGCCGAAUAGGUCCAUGUGUAGGAGCUCCAGUGGCCUGUCACUAGUCAUGAUGUUCUUGUGUGGAUGAUGAGUGCCAACUUGCUUCCCGGCUUGGCAUGCGCUACAAAUCCUGUCUUUCUCAAAAUGAACAUUGGUUAGUCCUAAAAUGUGUUCUCCCUUUAGAAGCUUAUGAAGAUUCUUCAUUCCAACAUGGGCUAGUCGGCGGUGCCAGAGCCAACCCAAGUUAGUCUUAGCAAUUAAGCAAGUGUCGAGUUCAGCUCUAUCAAAAUCUACCAAGUAUAGCUGACCCUCUAACACUCACUUAAAUGCUAUUGAAUCAUCACUUCUUCUAAAGACAGUGACACCUACAUCAGUAAAUAGACAGUUGUAGCCCAUUUGACAAAGUUGCGAAACAGAAAGCAAAUUGUAAUCUAAAGAGUCUACAAGAAAAACAUUGGAAAUAGUAUGGUCAGGUGAUAUAGCAAUUUUACCCAAUCCUUUGACCAAACCUUGAUUUCCAUCCCCGAAUGUGAUAGCUCGUUGGGGAUCUUGGUUUUUCUCAUAUGAGGAGAACAUCUUCUUCUCCCCUGUCAUGUGGUUUGUGCACCCGCUGUCGAGUAUCCAACUUGAGCCCCCGGAUGCAUAAACCUACAAAACAAUUUUAGUUCUUGAUUUUAGGUACCCAAACGGUUUUGGGUCCUUUGGCAUUAGAAACAAGAACUUUGGGUACCCAAACACAAGUUUUGGAGCCCUUGUGUUUGCCCCCAACAAACUUGGCAACUAUCUUGCCGGAUUUGUUAGUUAAAACAUAAGAUGCAUCAAAAGUUUUAAAUGAAAUAGCAUGAUCAUUUGAUGCAUUAGGAGUUUUCUUUCUAGGCAACUUGGCACGGGUUGGUUGCCUAGAGCUAGAUGUCUCACCCUUAUACAUAAAAGCAUGAUUAGGGCCAGAGUGAGACUUCCUAGAAUGAAUUUUCUUAAUUUUGCUCUCGGGAUAACCGGCAGGGUACAAAAUGUAACCCUCGUUAUCCUGAGGCAUGGGAGCCUUGCCCUUAACAAGGUUAGACAAGUUUUUAGGAGGGGCAUUAAGUUUGACAUUGUCUCCCCUUUGGAAGCCAAUGCCAUCCUUGAUGCCAGGGCGUCUCCCAUUAUAGAGCAUACUUCUAGCAAAUUUAAACUUUUCAUUUUCUAAGUUAUGCUCGGCAAUUUUAGCAUCUAAUAUUGCUAUAUGAUCAUUUUGUUGUUUAAUUAAAGCCAUGUGAUCAUGAAUAGCAUUGAUAUCAAUAUCUCUACAUCUAGUACAAAUAGAAGUGUGCUCAACGGUAGAUGUAGAGGGUUUGCAAGAUUUUAAUUCCACAACCUUAGCAUGUAGUAUAUCAUUCUCAUUUCUAAGAUUAGAAAUAGUAACAUUGCAAACAUCAAAAUCUUUAGUCUUAGCAAUUAAUUUUUUAUUUUCAGUCCUAAGGCUAGCAAGGGAAUCAUUCAAUUCCUUAAUCUUAGCAAGCAAAUCAUCAUUAUCAUUUCUAAGAUUGGGAAUUGAAGCAUCACAAACAUGAGAAUCAACCUUAGCAAUUAAUCUAGCAUUUUCAUUUCUAAGGUUGUCUAUAGUCUCAUGGCAAGUGCUUAGCUCACUAGACAAUUUUUCACAUUUUUCAACUUGUAGAGCAUAAGCAUUUUUUACCUUAACAUGCUUUUUGUUUUUCUUAAUAAGGAAGUCCUCUUGAGAGUCCAAGAGAUCAUCCUUCUCAUGAAUAGCACUAAUCAAUUCAUUUAAUUUUUCCUUUUGUUGCAUGUUUAGGUCGGCAAAAAGGGUACGCAAAUUAUUUUCCUCAUCACUAGCAUUAUCAUCACUAGAGGAUUCAUAUUUAGUGGAGGAUUUAGAUUUAACCUUCUUCCUUUUGCCAUCCUUUGCCAUGAGGCACUUAUGGCCGACGUUGGGGAAGAGGAGUCCCUUGGUGACGGCGAUGUUGGCGGCGUCCUCGUCGGAGGAGGACUCGGUGGAGCUCUCGUCGGAGUCCCACUCCCGGCAAACAUGGGCAUCACCGCCCUUCUUCUUGUAGUACUUCUUCUUUUCUUUCCUCUUUCCCUUCUUGUCGUCGCCCCUGUCACUGUCACUAGACAUAGGACAUUUUGCAAUAAAAUGAUCGGGCUUACCACAUUUGUAGCACACUUUCUUGGAGCGGGGUUUGUAGUCCUUCCCCUCCGGUGCUUGAGGAUUUGGCGAAAGCUUUUGAUGAUUAAAGCCAUCUCCUUAUUGUCGAGCUUGGAGGCAUCAAUUGGUUGUCUACUCGGUGUAGACUCCUCCUUCUUCUCCUCCGUCGCCUUGAACGCCACCGGUUGAGCUUCGGACGUGGAGGGUUCGUCAAGCUCAUUGAUCUUCUUUGAGCCUUUAAUCAUACAUUCAAAGCUCACAAAAUUCCUGAUAACUUCCUCGGGAGUCAUUAGUGUGUAUCUAGAAUUACCACGAAUUAAUUGAACUUGAGUGGGGUUAAGGAAAAUAAGAGAUCUUAGAAUAACCUUAACCACCUCGUGGUCGUCCCACUUCUUACUCCCGAGGUUGCGCACUUGGUUCACCAAGGUUUUGAGCCGGUUGUACAUAUCUUGUGGCUCUUCCCCUUGGCGAAGACGAAAGCGACCGAGCUCCCCCUUGAUCGUUUCCCGCUUGGUGAUCUUGGUGAGUUCAUCACCCUCGUGUGCGGUCUUGAGAAGGUCCCAAAUUUCCUUUGCAUUCUUCAACCCUUGCACCUUGUUGUAUUCCUCCUUGCUUAGAGAGGCGAGGAGUAUGGUUGUGGCUUGGGAGUUGAAGUGCUCGAUUUGGGCCACUUCGUCCGUAUCAUAGUCUUCAUCCCCUACGGAUGGUACCUGUGCUCCAAACUCAACAACAUUCCAUAUACUUUUGUGGAGUGAGGUUAGAUGAAAUUUCAUUAAAUCACUCCACCUAGCAUAAUCUUCGCCAUCAAAAGUUGGCGGUUUGCCUAAUGGAACGGAAAGUAAUGGAGUAGGUCUAGAUGUACGAGGGUGUAAGGGGAUCUUACUAAACUUCUUGCGCUCUUGGCGCUUAGAAGUUACGGACGGCGCAUCGGAGUCGGAGGUCGAUGUUGAUGAAGUGUCAGUCUCGUAGUAGACCACCUUCCUCAUCCUCUUGUGCUUGUCGCCUUUCCGAUGCGACUUGUGGGAAGAAGAUUUUUCCUUCUUCUCUUUGUGGUGUGAGGAAGAUCUUUUCUCCUUCUGUUUGGAGGAGUCCUUCUUCUUCUCCUUCCUCUUGGUGCGGGACUCUUCCGAUGAAGUGCUCCCUUGGCUUGUAGUGGGCUUGUCGUCGGUCUCCAUCUCCCUCUUGGUGUGAUCUCCCGACAUCACUUCGAGCGCUUAGGCUCUAAUGAAGCACCGGGCUCUGAUACCAAUUGAAAGUCGCCUAGAGGGGGGUGAAUAGGGCGAAACUGAAAUUCUCAAAAAUAAUCACAACUACAAGCCGGGUUAGCAUUAGAAAUAUAAUCGAGUCCGCGAGAGAGGGUGCAAAACAAAUCGCAAGCGAAUAAGAAGUGUGACACGCGGAUUUGUUUUACCGAGGUUCGGUUCUCGCAAACCUACUCCCCGUUGAGGAGGCCACAAAGGCCGGGUCUCUUUCAACCCUUACCCUCUCUCAAACGGUCCCUCGGAUCGAGUGAGCUUUCUCUUCUCAAUCACUUGGAACACAAAGUUCCCACAAGGACCACCACAAGAUUGGUGUCUCUUGCGUCAAUUACAAGUGAGUUUGAUCGCAAUGAAGAAUCAAAGAAAGAAGAAAGCAAUCCAAGCGCAAGAGCUCGAAAGAACACAAGCAAAUCUCUCUCUCUAAUCACUAGGGCGUUGUGUAGAAUUUGGAGAGGAUUUGAUCUCUUUGGUGUGUCUAGAAUUGAAUACUAGAGCUCUUGUAAGUAGUUGAGAAGUAGAAAACUUGGAUACCAUGAAUGGUGGGUGGUUGGGGGUAUUUAUAGCCCCAACCACCAAACUAGCCGUUUGGUGAGGCUGUCUGUUCGAUGGCGCACCAGACAGUCCGGUGCACACCGGACAUGUCCGGUGCGACAGCCACGUCACCAAUGCCGUUGGGUUCCGACCGUUGGAGCUCUGACUUCUGGGCCCGCCUGGAUGUCUGGUGGCGCACCGGACAUGCACUGUAGAUUGUCCGGUGCGCCAGUAUGGGCGUGCCUGUCCUCUGCGCGCGCAGCGCGCGCAUUUAAUGCGUCGCAGGUAGCCGUUGGCGCCGAAAUAGCCGUUGCCCCGCUGUUACACCGGACAGUCCGGUGUACACCGAACAGUCCGGUGAAUUUUAGCGGAGCAGCUGGAAUGAAUUACCGAGGCUGGCGAGUUCCGGAGGCCGCUCUUCCUUGAAGCACCGGACAUGUCCGGUGUACACCGGACAGUCCGGUGUACACCGGACAGUCCGGUGAAUUAUAGCGGAGUCGCCUCUGGAAUUUCCCGAAGGUGACGAGUUUGAAUUCAGAGUCCUUUGGUGCACCGGACAUGUCCGGUGGCACACCGGACAGCCCGGUGCGCCAGACCAGAGGUGCCUUCGGUUGUUCCUUUGCUCUUUUGUCAAACCCAAUACUUGGUCUUUUUAUUGGCUAAGUGUGAACCUUUGGCACCUGUAUAACUUAUACACUAGAGCAAACUAGUUAGUCCAAAGAUUUGUGUUGGUCAAUUCAACCACCAAAAUUAAUUAGGAACUAGGUGUAAGCCUAAUUCCCUUUCAAAAAGAUCAACAUCAAAUUUUAUACAUAUCUAUUUUAAAAUAUUAAAUUUGUUCUAACAGUUCGGAUUAUCACUUUCAUCCCUAAGGUAUUCUAUGUCCUUAAUCUCGUCUUUAUGGCAAGAAAUACUAAGAUUCCUUUAAACUUGGCGUCAUCUAGAAAACACUAAGAAAACUAACACCUGAACCACUCCCUCUGUCCAAAUUAGUUGUAAGAUAUUUUUUUUGUUGCCAGGAUCCUUAAUUUUCUCUGAAAAUCGCUUGGGUAUUGUAUUUUAGGACGAAUGGAGUAUACAAAUAACAUACAAUCAUGUGGCAGUGAGGAGGAAAACUAAAAACUGGCUAGGAAUUAGGACUAGUACGUGUAGUAAUCGUGUCAUGUGUUUCCGAUGCAUAUAGGUUUCAUAAAAUAAAUUUUAUCCAUGUCAUCUGCUGAAAGUUGAAGCGUUCGUCGUUGUACAGAUGAGAGGCAAACAAGUAUAUAUAUAUAGCCGGCAGCCAGGCAAAAGCUAAGCUAGUAACACACGGUAUGUAAUAAUUAAUUAAGGGAGAGCCAUCUCGAAACAUGCAUAUAUAGAAAUUAUUUUUCCUCAGAUCUCGCCGUCAAGCAUACAUGCAUUAUCUCAGACUUCGCAGUGGCGAGCUCGAUCGAUAUAUAUGAUGACUAGCAUCAGUACUAAAAUAGUAUUGUAUCAGGGACACACGUACGGCAUCGACCAGAGCACCAUGCAUGGUCCAUGGAUCAUAUCAUCAUUAUCAUGGCUUCAUGGGAUGGGAAUGGAUCGGAGUACGUGCUUAACCAUGAUCAGUACACACGUAUCUCUCGGAGGGGCGGCGGUAUCCCGGGUGAUGGCCGGGCGAUUAAUUAGUAGCUGUAGUUCUUGACGAACAUUCCCUCCUUGGCCUCGGCGGCCUCGCCGUCGGAGGUGUACUUGCCGAGCUGCGCCAGGGAGUUGGCCUUGGCGCGCAGCAGCAGCGCGUCCUGCGCCGCCUUGACCUUGUCCGGCUGGCCGCCCCAGGUCUUGAGGCAGGUGUUCUGCAGCGCCCGCGCGUAGGAGAAGGACACGUGCCACGGGUUGGGCCCCUGGUUCAUGGCGUUGAGGUUCUGCGUCGCCUCCACCUCCGACUGCCCGCCGGAGAGGAACAUGAUCCCGGGCACGGAGGGGGGGAUCCGGCGGUGGAGGAGCUUGAGGGUGUACGCGGCCACCUGCUCCGGGGUGGCCCUGUCCUUGGCCUCCG
RNAcentral lists this long non-coding RNA (73108 nucleotides) under Zea mays. Its description in RNAcentral is "long non-coding RNA (ZMAY_LNC000248)". The record is from RNAcentral. Lineage: Eukaryota; Viridiplantae; Streptophyta; Magnoliopsida; Poales; Poaceae.